Molecule: long non-coding RNA, 56341 nt
Filed under: Brassica napus (rape)
Lineage: Eukaryota; Viridiplantae; Streptophyta; Magnoliopsida; Brassicales; Brassicaceae
Description: long non-coding RNA (BNAP_LNC023748)
Source: RNAcentral
GAAGAAGGAAGUGAAAAGGAGAAGAAACUGUAAUGGGCUAAGGGAUGCAGAGCCCAAUACUAUUUAUUUUAGUGGGCCUGAGCCCAAAACUGAACAAAUGUGAACCAGACAAUCAGCUAGGGUUUGAAGAUGCAGAAUUUUGGAUUGACUUGACCAACAACGCGUGUCUCUGAUAGUUCUCUCGAAAUGGAGAGUUCCUCCGGAGAAUCCGAAUCCGAGGACGACAGACUGAUCUCUGAAAUGGAGAGUUCCUCCGGAGAAUCCGAGGACGAGAGACCGAUUGUACUCACCAACAGAACUUCGCAAAAGAGGCAACGUUCUCCGACCGAACGCACUGCGACGCUGCUGGAUCUGGAUGUUACAGACUGUCCCAUUUGCUUUAAUCCUCUCACCAUUCCCAUCUUCCAGGUUAUAUGUCUCAAUCUGUUUCUACCUUAACUCCACUUCUCUCACAAUAUCUUUUUUUUGGGCAUAUAGUGUGACAAUGGUCAUAUAGCAUGCUCUGCUUGCUGCCAAACGUUGAGCAAGAAGUGUGCAACAUGCUCCUUACCCACUCUUUCCCGCAACAGAGCUAUGGAGCGGGUUAUUGAACUUCUUAGAGUUCCAUGUCCGAAUGAUGGUUGCUCCAAGAUUGUCUCUUGUUCUGAAACAUCAGCACAUGUGAAUCAUUGUCCUUUCACCCAACGUACUUGCCCCUUUAGCAGCUGUGACUUUACUUGCUCCUCCAAGGAUUUAUAUAAACACGGCGCUGCGGCACCAUGCGCUGCUAAAUUUGGCCUUUCCUUUUCCUUGAGCAUGUUUAAAUGUGGAACGCUCGUGCGUACGCAUCUCUCAACAUAUAAGAGGAUCAGACUUGAGGUAUGAUCUCUACACUUUACUCGUUCAAUAUUGCAAGUAAAACUCAUUUGAGUUUAUAGUGUUGAUGAGAAGAUCAUUUUGUGGUUGUAUAAUACAACUUGUAUUAAGUAUAAGAAUCUGAGCUUGAAUCUUCUUUUUUCUUUGUUGUUGCAGGCUGCAGAAGAAAGAAGAAGAGAGUGGAGACUGGAGAGUCUAGAGACUUAACGCGAGGUAUUAUCUUAUACUUAGCGUGAUUCUAGUGUACUUUUGGACAAGAUAUUGAAAUGUUCAUACUAGAGAACUCACUACCUCACAAUGAUCUUGUCAUUGUUUACUUAUUGAAGUAGCAUCUGAUCUUGAUUUGUAGAUGUGAUCAUUACAUUUAAUCUAAUGUGAUAUUCUGGUAGAAAUCUUCAGCAUAUUGUGUUUUUAUAUUGUCAUUGUUUGAAUCUAAUGUGAUUUAUAGAAAUGUCGCUUCAUAAUACACAAUGUUGUCCUUUUUCUCACUAGUGCUCUUGGCUAUGUUUUUGUUCAUUGUAGUUGCAUUCAUUAUAAGAAUCGGAGGUUGAAUCAUCUUUUUUUCUUUGUUGCUGCAGGCUGCAGAUGAGAGUAGAUAAAAUCACAAAACUAGAAUAAAGUGAAUUCAUAAACAGAGUUAUCAAAAACUCAACCUUUUGAGAUUAUUUUACAUCAUAUUUAUUUUCAGAUUUUUAAAUGUUAGUUUAAAAUUUCAAAACUUUAUUACUCAAUUCAAUGUUGGAUAUUUCUAUCUCAUUUUGAUGUUAUUUGAUAUUAAAAUUGGGAUUACAUUAAGUUUAACAGAUUUGAGGUAAUAUUAAAAUUUACUUAUAAAUGGACGGUCUUGGGUUGUCCAACUGGUUAAUGGGUAAAAUUGGGUUUGAGUGUUAUUGGAUGUGGGCUAAAUAUGAAUAUGGGUGUCUUUAGUCCAGUAAAAAUAAAUGUCCAUUGGGCACGCCCAUUUGGGUGCAGUCCAACCCAACUGACAGCCCUAGCCCUAGUGAGAGUAUGAAAGCAAAUGGGACAGUCUGUAACAUCCAGAUCCAGCAACGUCGCAGUGCGUUCGGUCGGAGAAAGUUGCCUCUUUCGCGAAGUUCGUUUGAAUACAAUCGGUCUGUCGGAGUCGGAGUCUCCGGGCUCCAUUUCGAGAGAAGUAUCAGAGACACAAGCGUCGUUGGCCAAUCCAAAGCUCUGCACCUCGAAACCCUAGCUGACCUGUCUGGUUCCAUUUAUUCAGUUUUGGGUUCGGGCCCACUAAUAAUAACAGUAAUGGGCUCUGCAUCUCGAAGCCCAUUACAGUUUCUUCUCCUUUCACUUCCUUCUUCUUCGUCAUUCUCUUUCUGCAUUUUACAGUCGGUAGUGUCGUCGACAAAUGCCUUGACAGUUCUCCGAGCGUUUCUGAUUUUGUCUUCUCUCCUGAGCAGACAUCGUGUCUCCACUAAACUUAACAGGUUAUUCUCUUCCCCAACAUUUCAAGCUUUUUUUCUAGGGUUUUGCUUCAUUCCUCUAUGUAGCUAUGUUUUUCAAUUGUUAGCUUUGUCUUCUUCCCCUGUAGUGAAAUACAGAUUUUUCUGAGGUUUUGUCAUGUUAUAUAUCUUUCAACAUUUCAACUCUUUUCUAUUGUUUUUGUAAAAGGUGAUGGACAGAAUCAGUGGACUAUCCGAUGAGUUACUGGCCAGGAUACUAACCUUUGUUCCGACAAAAGUUUCUGUCUCCACCAGCAUUUUAUCUAAACGAUGGGAGUUUCUUUGGACGUGGGUGCCUAAACUCGAGUUCGUGGAUAACAAGUAUGGAUCAGACCUUGCAAUUAGGGAUUUUAUCAACAAGAAUCUUCCAUUACUCAAACCUCCGGUCAUAGAGAGCUUCCUCCUCAAAUGUUAUUCAUCAUUUUUUCAACCUGAGGAUAUCACUCAGUGGGUUGCAACUACGGUUUCUCGCUGCAUCGUUGAGCUAGAUAUCGACUGUGUAUACUGUUGGUCGGGAGAACCUUGUUUGUUAUUGCCGGGCAGCUUGUUUACGUGCGAAUCGCUAGUGACUUUGAAACUCAACGGCGAGAUGAUUCUGUUGGAUGUUCCUCGGACUGUUUAUCUCCCUUCGUUGAAAACUCUGCAUCUUGGAUGUGUUACUUACUCAAAAGAAGAUACUUUCCGACUGCUUUUGUCCUACUGCCCUGUUCUUGAAGAUCUGGUUAUUCAGCGAAGUGGUCGUGACAAAGCGAAAGCGAUAGUUGUGAUCAGCCCGUCCCUGCAGAUGCUGACCUUACAGUUAGAUGGUGGAACUUCUUCGACUGAUGAGUUUGUUAUAGUAACCCCUUCUUUGAAGUAUCUCAAUAUUGAGGAUUACAAUGCGAGGUACUCUUACUUGGUCGCUCAUAUGCCUAAGGUUGAAGAGGCAGAUAUAGUUGUUGAUGAGUAUCUUGAGAUGGUCUUUGAAUCAAUCACAUCUGUCAAACGCCGUUCGCUUUGCGUCUUAUUCGACUUUGAAGAGAGGGUAUAAUCUUUUAUCAACUUCAAGUACACAAUCUCUAUUAUAUAAUAUCACUUACCUUUUGUUAUUACAUUGUCUCAUGUGUGCAGUAUAUGUAUCAUGAUGGUAUAUUCUUUGGUCAGCUUGAACAUCUGAAGUUAGGUAUAAGCUUUGAUUAUUGGUCCAAGUUGCUUUUCCGGUUGCUCCGGGAUGCUCCUAAGCUGCGAGUCCUCGAACUCUACGUCUAUGUAAGUUUCUUCCUUUUGACUAAUUUUCUAUACUCUUUGUUGUAGUGUUCAUGUAUAGUUCUCUCUUUCUUUUUCUUUUUUUUUUUGUUUAACUCCGAGUGGUGGACGUUUCAAUAAGUAUGAGCCGAUUAGCUAGAACAAUGACCCGAGUGCUGUUCCUACAUGUUUGUUGGAGAGCCUUGAAACUUUCGAGUUUGCAGACUACAGGGGAAGGCAAGAAGAGAGAGACUUCGUGAGUUUUAUCAUCAAACACGCUUGUCACUUGAAGUCCUCGACGAUUACGCCUUCUACCAUAAUGGAAACUUGUUCCUCAACAGAUAGUUGUUGCAUUUGACGAUUAUGGACUGGUAGGCUUGUUUUGUUUUGUUGUCCAAGAACAGUUAGGUGCUUAUCAUGUGUUGAUUCUACACUAGUGUCUUUUUAAUGUUUUUUUAAGUGGUAUUAUCUUCGGUUUGGUUAGCUUUUGUCUCUUAUUGGUCGAAGCUACUCGUCUGGCUGUUCCAUGUUUUUCUGUCUAAACGCAACCAACGGUGUACUUUUAUUCCCGAGUUAUUAGGCUUGCCUUGUUAUAAUGAGUUAAAAAAAUAAAAACAAAAGAGUAGAAAAAUCUGGAAACUGAGAAGAGGAAGUUACCGGGUACACAACUACAUAUGAAAAAAGAAUCAUCAGACCCUAGAGUUUCUAAUGGUAGAACAAGUGUAAAGUAGCUCUGCAAUAUUUUGUAGACGAAAUGAGUAUAUGAUACAGAGUAUUGACAAAGGCUUUCACAUUUCUUCAAGCAUUUCUGUUUUGUCUUGUGAUUCGGAUAACAAAAAGUUAUUCCUAUUUGUUUGCGCAUAUGAACUUAGGUCCACAUCACAAAGUGUUAGGUGCUAUAGUUUUACAGAUGAAAUCUAAUAAACAAAAGUAGAUGUUGCAUUAGAUAUACAUUUCCGAUUGUAGUGUUUCCAAAAGAACAAAACUCAAAAGCUCUUUUUCGAACUCCUAAGCACAAAGAUAGAGUAGGUAAGUGUGGCUUAUGAGGGAAGAACUAGUAGCUUCUUCAUGAUCCUAGUAAGUCUCCCCGCUUGAUGGUUAUGAAAAACAUGUAGGCAGGGCAGGUCGAUGAAGGAACAAACAUAACAGACCCACCUGGUAGUUCAUUGCUUACUUCACGGACUCUUUCGAGUUUUGAUUCAGAAGACAAAUGCUUACCCGAAGCUAAAGAUAGCUUCAGUUGGUAGGAGAACUCGUCUGUUCCUGGUCCAAUACAGCAGGCAUAGAACAUCCGACCGUCUGGCAUGUCGAACCACUCCACAACCACAACUUCUCCUUCUCCUUCUGUAGUCUCUUCCUUGAGAAUGAUCCCCUUACCACCUAAAGGUAUAAACACUUGGGUUCCACAUUCAAACAUGUCUGAGAACUCGCAGUGUCUAGCUGAUUGUCUGGUUCCAUUUGGCCUUUUUAUUUAUUUAUUUUUCUCCUUCAAUAUUAAAACCCAAAACAAGAUAGCAAAACGACGUCUCUACAACACGGUCAUAAACUAGACGAUGAAGAAACAUACGUUUGUAGAAAAGCUUCACGCAGCAUAUAGACAAUAUUUUAUCAUGGGGUAACAAAAAAAAACAUAACCAAAGAUAGGUAAGAGACAAAGAAGUAGGAUGAAGCAUCAAAAGCAGAGCGGAGCAGCAGCUUCUGUAUGUCCCGAUUCAGUCGUCAGCCUUUCCAGCACCAAAAGGGUCAUGAUUCGGACCCAACUCCUCUCCCAUAUGGCGCUGCACCAGCCUGGAAAGAUCAGACAUGACCUUAGCCUCACGCUUGGCCUUCUCCUCAUAGUUAAACAUAGCCAACGCACGCUUGUCUUCAGCACUGUAAACCUGGUUCUCCUUCCUGAUACGAAUAGCAUUCAUCCUUUGAUGCCUACUCCCACUCAUAACAUACCCAAGAUCCUCAAACCUCUGAAUCUCAUCAGCGUUAAGACCCACUUCUCCUCUACGUGGGAUACGUUUCCCUUGCUGAACGUACUGUGCUAUAGCGUCUCCUUCACCGGGUCUUAACGCAGGACCGUAACCGCUCAUGUGUCCUUCAGCUUUAGGACCCACCUCAGCUUCUUCUUCUUCUCUGAACUUCUUCAACUCAAGCUCAGUAUCCUUAACCUUUUCUUCAAGUUUCGCCUUCAGAUCAGUGUCAGAACCAUCGCCUGACAGCUUCUUCCGCCUCUUGCUCUUUGACCUGCUAUGUUCUUCCCCAGAAGCACUCCUAUUUCCUCGCUUCUUUCUGCUUCCUUUCUUCUUCUUACUUGUUCUUCGUCCCCUAUCUUCUUCCUCGUCGCCUGAGAGCUUCUUCCGCCUCUUGAUCUUUGACUUGGUGUGUUGUUGUUCAUCACCAGACGAGGAAGCACUAACCUCAGAUUCAGAAUCACUGUAUCUUCUCUUCUUCCUAAUACUUGUGCUUUUCUUCCUUUUUCUUCCUAGUUUCCUAUCUUCCUCAUCGGAAUCACUCUCUUCAGAUCUCCUAGAGCUCUUACUCUUAAUCUUCCUUCUACUACGUUGUCUCCUUCUAUCUUCCUCAUCAGAAUCACUCUCUACAGAUUCGCUAUCGCUAUCAUAAGAUCUCCUCCCCCUACGCUUCCUAGAUCGAUCAGUUUCAGAUUGCGACUUACCAGAAUCAGAUUCGACUUUGGCUUUCGGCAGGUUAUCAUCAUCCCUCUCGUCGGCGUUCGGAUCUCUCGGCGUGUUCCUCAUCUUGAUGCGUUUGAGCCUCCGGUACUCCUGGUAGCUCACCCCCUUCAGCUCUUCGUCCGAUUCCGAUCCUCUACGCCGACCUUCAUAAACUUCCCCUUCAUUCGGAGGAGGCGACAUCUUGAUCCCUAGGGCCACGACGUGAGUAUUUUAUAACUCCAGCUAACAUUUGGCCUUUUUAUUUAACUGUGGGCUUUUUUAUUUAAUUGUCGCUUUUUACUUUUUACUAAACAUGAGCUAAGAAAUUAGUGGGAUUUUAUUUCUUCUGCCUAUAAUUUUGAAAACCCAUUACCUAAAUUAUUCUCCACCAAUUCCAAUCAGGUGAAUAUAUAAAACUAGGGUUGCCUAAGGGCGGGAUAGUAACCGAAAAAUACAUAAAUAUAUAAUAAAUGUUAACGAAUAUUUUAAAAUGUUUAGCUUACUUUAGUUUAACGUAAUAUUAGUUUUCAUUGUGUAUGUUUUGUUAUUCUUAUAAUAGAUUACUAGGUGUUUUGCCCGCACGUGCGGACUUAAUCGUCUUACAAAUAUAUAUUAAUUUAUAUUUUAUUAAUUCAAAAAUCAGCAUGAUAACUUAUUAUUUAUGUUUUCAAAAAAAAAAUUAAACAUCAAAUUAUAUAUACAUACGACAAAAAAAUCAUUAAAAAAUAUUUUUUUUUUUGUGUUGAAAUUUUAAAAGAAAACAUUCACAUAUUAGAAAUAUUUUAGAAAAUAUCUUUAUACAAAAUAUUUUAGUUGAUUAGUAUAUAAUUAUAAAUUGUUUAUUAUAUAUUUUCUAACAUUUAUAAUUGAAAAAAUAAAUUUUAAGAUAAAAAUACAAUAUAUAAGAAUUAUCUUAUUUAAAAAAAAUAUAAUAUUAUUAAUGAAAAUUCGUUUUAAUUAUAUAAUUAAUUUUAUAUAAAAUUCAUUAAGGAUAACAUUGAAUUUAACCACUUAAUUAUUAUAAAUUAUUUAUAAUAAAUAUUUAGUUAUAAAUUUUUUAUAUGUUAUUUUCUAAAUUUUAUAAUUGAAAAAAAAGAUAACAACCCAAUAUAUAAGAAUUAUCAUUAAUUAUAUGUAUUAAUUAAUUAUUAUGAUAAUUAUUUAUAUAUAAUAUGUUAAUUAAGAUAACAACACAAUAUAUAAUAAUUAUAUUAUUUAAAAAAAUUAUAAUAUUAUUAAUGAAAAUUCUUUUUAAUUAUGUAAUUAACUAUAUAUAUAUAAUUAAUUAAAAGUAACACUUACUUUAACAACUUUAUUAUUAUAAAUUGUUUCAUGUCUUAUUUUUAACUUUUAUAAUUGAAAAUAUGUUUUAAGAUAACAACACAAUAAAUAAGAAUUAUCUUAUUUAAAAAAAAUUAAUAUUGUUAAUAAAAAUUCGUUUUUGAUUAUAUAAUUAACUAUAUAUUAAAUUCAUUAAGGGUAUCAUUGACUUUUUAAAGUGAGAGCUCGAUUGCGAAAAAAUUACUAAUAAUUAAUUAUUAUGAUAAUUAGUUAUAUAUAAUAUGUUAAUUAAGAUAACAACACAAUAUAUAAGAAUUAUCUUAUUUAACAAAAUUAUAUAUUAUUAAUAAAAAUUUGUUUUUAAUUAUAUAAUUAAUUAUAUAUAAAAGAUUAAUUAAAAGUAACAUUGACUUUAACCACUUAAUUAUUAUAAAUUGUUUCAUAUCUUAUUUUUAACUUUUAUGAUUGAAAAUAUGUCUUAAGAUAACAACACAAUAUAUAAGAAUUAUCUUAUUUAAAAAAAUUAAUAUUGUUAAUAAAAAUUUGUUUUUGAUUAUAUAAUUAAAUAUAUGUAAAAUUCAUUAAGGGUAUCAUCGACUUUGACCACUCUAACUUUUAACGUGAGAGCUCUAUUGCGAAAAAUUACUUCGCAAAUAAUAGUAUAGAUAACAUAAAAUUUGUUUUUAAUUAUAUAUAAAAAUUCAUUAAGGAUAGUAUAGAUAUUAACCGCUCUAACUUUCAAUGUGAGAGUUCGAAUGCGAAAAUUUACUUCGCAAAUAAUAGUAUAGAUGUUUAUUUUAAUAUUGAAGACAUGUUAAUGAAUACAUAAUAGUUUUACAUAUUUAUUUGUUUAUUCUACUGUAGUAAUAGUUUUGAUAAUAAGCAAAAUAAAAAUUUAGUACAUAAAUCUCGGAUUAAUUAUGUGCCAAAAUAUUAUUUUAGAUUGAUGUCAAAUGUUCUGUUAGAUUUUAAAAAUGAUCAAAAUUUUUUUUUGGAUUAUUAAAUAUUUUAUCAAUAAAUUUGGUUUAAAAAAAUAAGAUGAUGCAAACAUGGAAUACUUAAUAAACUUUUACAAAUUAUAGUGUUAAAUUUUUAGACAACUUCUUUUGAUGAAAUUUCAUCAGAAAAAUAAAGGAUUUAGCUUUAUUAAUAGUAUAACAUUAGUUUUAAUAUUUGUUAUUAGAUUUAAUUGAUUAUAUACUAAAUAAGAGGUGUGUUUGAACGAAUUUCUUUUCAAAUGUGUCAACGCUCUAUUGUUUUUAUUAGGUUAGCAUGUGUCAUUUGUCGAAAAGAUAUGUUAUGAGAAAUGUUUUAAGUUCGGGUGAGUUUUAUCUGAUAUUAUUUUAAUGAUUUGUAAUUGUAUCGUGUAUUUCUGGUAAAGUAAUUUAUUUUGAAAGCCUUUCCUCUAAGCUCCCAUUUUCCAUUUUCCAUGAACUCAUACACCAAAUACCAGGACACGUACAAAAGCGAAGAACCAUGUGAGGAUGUCUGGAGCAGCAUCAGAUUUCAAGACUAAUGGCAAUAGGGUUGUGAUCAAGUUUAUCUUUUGUACCAGACAUUGUUAUGUACGAAAGAAGUAAACCACCGUAUUUCUGGUGCGAUUCCCUUUUUUUUUUUUCAUUUCAGCUUGCUUCCUUCUAGUUCCACCAUCGUCUGCGCUUUCUCACUUGCUUCCAUUGUAGCUCUAGACUUGGCCUUCUCCAUCUUUGGAAUAGCCAGGACUGUCGCUUUAGCACUCCUAGCUUCCUCAAAUCUUCGAGCUUCUUACAUUCUCCACAGCUUAUGCUAAUUUUUCAAGAGAAACAUGGGAGUCAUAAAGUUUUAGACGGAGCAGCUUGCUCAUCAUCAACUAUCCCUGCUUGAUCACACCUAUAUUUCUAACCGUCCUUUUGUAUUAAGUGCUUCUUUCGAUGAUAAGCUGUGCAUGUCCAUGGUUUGCCUAAGUUCAAGCCUUCAUAUUCUCAUCUCAGCUUCAAUAUCUCUCGGUAAGUCAAUGACUGGUGUUUAUUUGACGGUGAAAACCUUCUUGUCAAUGCGAAUGGUCGUCACGCUAAUGCCUGGUCAGAGUCGGUGUUUUCAACUUCGUUGGUUACGGCGAAGCUCGUCAAGUAUCACAUACUGCCAUCAAGAUAAAUCAAUUUCGGCAUUAAAGAAUAGAAAACCUUUCUUGAAAUGUUAUAGUAUAAGAGGUGUGGCAGAAGUAACAUACCACUACGACGGAGUUAUCCUUUGGGGACUCUUCCUCUAACUCCUCAAAAUAAUGUUUUAAGACAUAUAAAGAUCGCAACUUUCAUCAUCAACUAUAUAAAAGAAACUUCGGGGAAGAUUUUCUGAUAAUCAAGAAAUAAACAAAUGGAUCCCACUCAAACUGAAUGUUUGGAUUAAAAGCUUGGUAAUGAAUUUACGAAUAAAGCGAAACAGAAUCAACAGACAAAACAAUAAUCAUUGUCCAAUUAUUUUAAGAUAACAGAAGCUUAUGGAAUUUUUUUUUUUUGAUAAUAAAGACAUGAACAAAUGGAUCUCCAUUAAAAUAAAAGUUAGGUUUAAAAGUAUAAUAAUCAAUACAUGAAGAACGCAAAACAUAAUCAACAAACAAAACAAUUAUCAUCUCCCAAAUACAUAAUGAUUUUGACGGUGGAUUUACCUGAGCUUCGAGGAGGAGCAUGUCAACCCCAUUAGCUCGCUGCCACACUUCACACUCCUGUUUCCCAAAAACUAAGGAGGCGGACAUCGACGGUGGAGGGACAACCGCCGGCGUUGAAUCGGCAAGGAGGACAGAGGAGUUAGCCAUUUUCAAAGGUAAAUUUCUUAAAACGCUUAUGAAUGAGAAGAAAGAACAGACGAAUUUCAUGGGGCAAAACAUACCUUUUUAUAGCGGAAGAAUAUGAUGAUCGCAGUAAAUGGGAAAGCAAUGAAUGAUAGACCGUCAAUAGUCACUAAAAGAAAACAGCGGUAUUCUGACGGACAUUCCGACGGAAAAUGAAAUCCUCGGAAUAUCCCGAGGAAUUUCCGAGGAAAUUCCGAGGAAACACAAAAUUUGGUUUCCUCGGAAUUUCCUCGGAAUAUACCGACGGAAUUCCGAGGAAAUAUCAAUCCGUCGGAAUAUUCCGAGGAAAUUCUGAGGAAAAAUGUGUUCCUCGGAAAAAACCGAUGAAUUCUGAGGAAAUUUAUAGCCGUUGGAGAGCCGUUGGGGGGAUUUUACAAAAUUCCGAGGAAAUUCCGACGGACUAGCCGUUGGCGUCGGAAUUCCGUCGGAAUUUCCUCGGUCUGUCGGCAGGAUUUAAACUAUAAGUACAAGCAGUCCUCUUCCUCUUCAUUCACUCCAUAUCUUCAUCCUCCCUCUUACUCUAUUUACACACGAAUUUGAUUCAUAAAAAAUAUGUCUUCUUCAAAUUAUUUUCGUUCUUGUAUUGAUCGACCUCAUUUGGAUCCGAACACGAGAUUGCUUACGGAAGAAUACCAACGAGGUAUAACCGAAUUCAUGGGGUUAGUUCACCGACAACCGGAAGCAAAAACAGGUAUGUUAAGAUGUUCUUGCUCUAAUUGUAAAAAUAGAAAGACUAUUAAAGAGUGGGAUGUUUGGACUCAUCUAUAUUUGAGUGGGUUUACACGAAGUUACAAAAUUUGGUAUCAUCAUGGGGAAACUGAUUAUGAACAUGGUAGUACUAGCGAACCUAGUGUAUACCAAGCCCCAAGAUGAGAAAAUUUGAGUAGAUUGAGUGGUCAGUCAGUUUGAAUCCUUUGAACAUUCUUAAAAGCAUGAAUGUUGUUGGUUGAUCAAUGUUUGUGGCUUUUCCAUGUUUCACAGCCUGCAGUUGAUAGCUGAAAGAAUGGUACUCAGAUAUUAGUUAUUUGGUUUAUCUAGCAAGACAAAGCUGAAUACGAAUUAAAAACUACUCAAAACACAACCAAAUAAAACGAAGAAACCAUGUAAAAGAAAUACGAACUCAUAAUUAAGAAAAAAAAAAACUAAGUUCAAAAUUAACCGAAAAAGGUAUGGCAGAUUCCUAAAUGGAACUAUGACAAGUACCCUCCCCCAGACUUAGUUUACACCGUCCCUGGUGUGAAAACAGAAAAUAAGACCAUAAAACGUUAGAAUAGAAAAGAAAAUAAAAUAGCGCGGUCGGAAAUCAAAUGGCAAUACUGGCCAGUGAUAGCUCCUACUCCUCGUCUCCUGCUCCAGAUGUUCCUGCAUCUUUGGGUCUCUUGGACCUCUUUCUUACCCUGUGUGUACCACUCGAACCCGAACCAGAGCUGGAUGGAGAGUUGUCCCGAUGAACUACAUCAUCCUUUUGGCAACGACAUGGCCUGAUACGUGAAAUGGCAGCCCAGAUCUUGUGUAGCAUGUCGUUGUUUGUCUUUAUGCUCUGAUCUCUCCAAUGUUGUUGCUGGCGAAGUGGCGUUCGGUGGAAGCUCUUGCAGCUUGUACUGGCUGGAGUCUGAUGGAAGUAGAUGAUGGGGUUGUGAAUCAUCUGGAAUGGCUUGUGCAGCCUCAUCUUCUCCUUCUUCAUCAUCCACGGCCUUGCCUUUAGUCUGAUAUUUUGGCGUGAAGAAGGAUGGCUUGUCUACUAGUGCGGUAGCAAGGGGUAGGAACUCAACUGCAGCCUCUGAAAGUAGAGCAGUCAGGCCGACCUGAGGCAGGUGGCAGUAGAGUGUUUUCUUCGCUCGGUCCUGGAAUACGUAGACGUAAGGACCAUCCCGAUCGAUCCUCGAGUGGGGACCAGCUAUGAACUCCUUACUUACUAGAGAAAUGACAUCCAGGUAGUUUCAAGCAAUGUUGUUCGAUCUGUCCAGUGCUACCUGAUAAUUUUGUUUCCCGCACACGCAUCGAUCGAUGCGUUUUUGUACAAAUACGGAUCGAUCGAUGCGUUUAAAAAAAGGCUCCCGAGAUUUUGUUCGAUCCAUCGAUGGGAUAAUCUAAUCGAUCGAUCACAUUGUUACGCUUUGGUUAAUCUUAGUGAUCGAUCGAUGCGUUUUCGGACAUAUAUCCAUCGAUCGAUCCGUUUAUAAAAAAACUUACAAGAUAUUCCGAGGACAUUCCGAGGAACGCUUGAGAUUCUCGAUCGAUCGAUGGGAUAAUCUAAUCGAUCGAUCACAUUGUUACGCUUUGGUCCAUCUUAGUGAUCGAUCGAUGCGUUUUUGGAUAUAUAUACAUCGAUCGAUCCGUUUAUAAAAAAACAUAUGAGAUUUUGUUCUCGAUCGAUCACAUUGUUACCCCAAACCCUGUUUCCUCGGAAAAGCCUCGGAAUAUUCCGAGGAAAUUCCGAGGAACACCUGAUAUACUUUAUCGAUCGAUGCGUUUUGGUACAUAUAUCCAUCGAUCGAUCCGUUUAAAAAAAAAUUGACGUAUUGAAACCCCAAACACUAGUUCCUCGGAAUUUCCUCGGAAUAUUCCGACGGAAUUCCGAGGAAGAAAAGGGUUUCCUCGGAAUUCCGAGGAAAUAAGGUUUUUAAACCGAAAACAACGUUUUGCGGUUUGAAUAACACCUAUAUAACCCUUAUUAAGUGUCUUACGUUCAUUAUGAAGUCAAAAUUUUUUUCCUUACCGUAUAAUUAACACUUUUCCGAUUGUAUGAACGAAAUCACACAACAUAAGAGAAACACUUAUACCUUUUAAUGAACGGUAAAGGGAAUACUUUCAAUUAGUUUUGAAAUUUGUUAUUUCAUGGUUUAUGCUCAUCUAUACAAAGAAUCCUCAAUGGUAUGCAUUACAAUUGUAUAAGAAAUGAAAUACGGCAAAAAAAUUGAUGUUUUGAAACCCAAAACACUAGUUCCUCGGUAUUUCCUCGGAAUAUUUUCAUUUUACCGGGAAAAUAUUUCGCGAAAAUUGAAAUUAGAAUUCCGACGGAUAAUGUCCGUCGGACCCUAGGUUUUAUAACCACGAGCCCCUUCUUCUUCCCCAUUUCUCUCUUCUUCCUCUGCGCGACUCCUCUCUUCUCUCCGGCGUUUUCCCCCUGAAAUCCGACGAUAUCUCCGGCGAUCACCCCCUUCUCUUACACAAAUCAUGUAAGGACACUAUCCCACUCUCUUAGGUUCUAUUUGUUAAGUUUUUGUUUAGUUUUGAUAGAUUUUUGUUAGGGUGAUUGGUUAGGAUUGUGAUUUGGUUGUAUAAUAGGUUUAGAAUUGUUAUUUGGUUGAAUAAUUUGUUUUGUUGAAUUGAUUUAAAAAUUUUUUAUAANNNNNNNNNNNNNNNNNNNNNNNNNNNNNNNNNNNNNNNNNNNNNNNNNNNNNNNNNNNNNNNNNNNNNNNNNNNNNNNNNNNNNNNNNNNNNNNNNNNNNNNNNNNNNNNNNNNNNNNNNNNNNNNNNNNNNNNNNNNNNNNNNNNNNNNNNNNNNNNNNNNNNNNNNNNNNNNNNNNNNNNNNNNNNNNNNNNNNNNNNNNNNNNNNNNNNNNNNNNNNNNNNNNNNNNNNNNNNNNNNNNNNNNNNNNNNNNNNNNNNNNNNNNNNGGUCUCAUGAUGAUCAGACCCGGCCUCGACAGCAUCCUUAAAGGACAAGGAUGAUCGCAUAUCUUUGUUGGAGACCCAGAUGGCGGCUCAACAGGCGGGCUAUGAGGCACAGAGGAGGCUGAACCAGCAAAUGAUGGAGAUGAUGCAGAUAAUGUACCCGAACGAGGUUUUCCCGGACGUGCCAGACCCGCAGUUUUUUUUUUCCAAAAAUUCGGAAUGUUUUAUUUUUAUUUGUGAAACUUUGAAUAUUAAUUAAUAUGAUUUCAAUUUUAAUUUUAAUUUUAUAUUUUCGAAUUUAAAUUUCAAAAAUUUUAUUUUUAAAAAAAAAAUUAAUAUUUUUUACAUUCCGAGGAAAUUAAUUAUACUUUUUACUCGAUCGAUCGAUGCGUUUUUGGACAUAUAUCCAUCGAUCGAUCUGUUUAUAAAAAACGUUCGGAAUAUACCGAGGGACAUCUUCCUCGGAAUAUACCGAGGGACACCUUUCCUCGGAAUAUACCGAGGGACAUGUUCCUCGGAAUAUUCCGAGGAAGAUGUCCCUCGGUAUAUUCUGAACGUUUUUUAUAAACGGAUCGAUCGAUGGAUAUAUGUCCAAAAACGCAUCGAUCGAUGAACUUCCGAGGAAAUAUCCCGACGAAGUUCUCCCUCGGUAUAUUCCGAGGAGAUUUCCGACAAACUAGUGAUCCUCAGAAUUUCUUCGGAAAUUUGUUUCCUCGGAAUUCCGUCGGAAAAUUCCGAGGGAUUUCGGAGGAAAGAAGAAAUUCCGAGGAAUUAUUUCCGAGGACUUGUUUCGUCGGUAUGUCGUCGGAAUAACGUUAUUCCGAUGAAAUUCCGACGAUUUUUUCCCUAAGUAUCCUUGUUGUUUUCUUGUAGUGGUUGAUGCCUCAAUUGUAGACGACUCUUCGCUUGAGCGUAACCAGAACACGUUUCCAGUUUCUCUCAAUCGGGAAGAUGAAAAUGAUCGUGUAUCUAACGGAAUGAUAAAGAAGAAGGUGAAACAUCAUCACAGUCGAAACCCAAGAUCGAGUUUUCGUCUAAAACGGUGAAUGUGAGAUGGGUGUAACUCUAAUAGCAAAAAUGUUGUGUUUGGAUAUUCAUACCUGUUCACCUUGUCGGACUGGGCUAAUAAAAUAACAUUACGGUCCGUCAACAUGUAAAGCCCAUAGGAUCACGCUCUGAUUUAAAUGAAACAGAACGUUUAGAAAGAUGACACGUGUCGAGACUAUAGGACUCGAUUUUCUGACCUGGCACUGACGUGGCGCAACAGGAGGGAGACAAAAACAUUUAUAUAUAUAGACAGAUAGAUAUAGAUAGAUAUAUUCUUUUGAACGUUUUUUUCUUAUAUAUGUUAAAUUUAUUCAAAAUAAAUUUGUUUUUUUUACGGCAAAUGCAUCAUGUUUUUUGAAAAAUAAGGCACUUCAACUUUUAGCAAUCUCAAAAACCUAUCGUAUCGCGACCAACAUUUUAGAGGAGCGAUUCAAGAUAUUACUCGCUUCCCUCUUUUCUGUCGGCAUCUGAAGCUGAUGGUCUGUCUUGAAAGUGUGAAGAAGAUGAAUAUAUUGACAAAUUUAUAGCGGAUGAAAUUUGGCAUCAGCUCCGUGGACGCAAGGUAGAGGUUCAGUGGAAUAAAUUCUUCUGGUUUUCUCCAGGCAUUCCUCGCUAUGUUUUCAUUACUUAGCGACAGACUUGCAACAGGUCAUCGUACUCGACAAUAGAAUCAGACGUGUUUACUGUGGAGAAUCGGAUGAGACGCGGGAUCACCUCUUCUUUGCAUGUCCUUAUAUACUUUCAGGCUUUGGUUACGAGUGGUGGGGCAUCCUGUUUGGCCUGGACUGGGAUACCACAAUGCAUCGUCUACUCACAGGUUUGUUUGAUCGUCUCACCUUCAUCCUGUAGAGACUGGCCCUGCAGGUCACUAUUUAUUUGGUUAGCUUUUGUCUCUUAUUGGUUGAAGUUACCAUCUGUUAAUUGGCUUUGGCCCUUUGGUGGGGUUCACAACUACAGAGUAUUGACAAAUGCUUUUACGGUUCUCCAAGCAUUUCUGAUUUGUCUUGUGAUUCAGAUAACAAAACGUUUCUCCUAUUCCUUUGCGCAUAUGACUAAUAUGAAAUUAGGUCCACAUCACACAUAAAUUUUUAAAGUGUUAGAUGAUAUAGUUUACAAAGGAAACCUAAUGAACAAAAGUAGAUGUUGCAUUAGAUAUACAUUUUCGGUUGUAAUUUUUCCAAAAGAACAAAACACAAAAGCUCAUUUCCAACUCUUAAGCACAAACACGUAAAGUAGGUAAGUGCGUGGCUUAUGAGUGAAGAAGUAGUAGCUUCUUCAUGAUCCUAGUAAGUCUCCUCUCUUGAUGGUUAUGAAAAACUUGGAACAAACAUAACAGACCCACCUGGUAGUUCAUCGCUUACUUCACCGACUCUUUCGAGUUUUGAUUCAGAAGACAAACGCCUACCCGAAGCUGGAUACAGCUCGAAUUUACAGGAGAACACGUCUGUUCCUGGCCCAAUACAGCUAGCAUAUAUAAUUCGACCUUGAGGCAUCUGGAAACACUCCACAACAACAAUUUCUCCUUCUCCCCCUCCUCCUCCUUCUGUAGUCUCUUCCUUGAGAAUGAUCCUCUUACCACUUAAGGGUCUUAUAAACACUUGCGUUCCACAUUCAAACGUGUCUGAGGACUCGCAGUGUUCAUAUAAAUCCUUGAAGGAGCAAAUGAAGUCGCAGCUGCUAAAAGGGCAAGGACGGUGGGUGUAAGCACAGUGCUUUACAUGUGUUGAUGUUUCAGAAUAAAGGACAGUCUCGGAGCAACCAUCAUUUGGACAUGGAACUGUAAGUAGCUCGAGAAUCCGUUCCAAAGCUCUGUUGCGGGAAGCCAUGGUUAAGGAGCAUGUUGCACAUUUCUGACGCAGCUUUCCGCAGCAAGUAGAGCAUGCUACAUGACCAUUCUCACACUAUAUGUCCAAAAAUAAGAUUAUGAUUAAUAACUAACUAAUUUAUGAGAUGAGGAGAAGAGCAAUUCAGGGAUGAGAAAUGUUAACCUGAAAGAUGGGAAUGGUGAGAGAAUCGAAGCAAACGGGACAGUCCGUAGCAUCCAGAUCCAGCAGCGUCCCGGUGCGUUUUCUUCUUCUCCUCAGAUUCGGUUGAAGUACGUUGCCUCUUUUGCGAACUACUACUGUCGGUCAGUCUCAUCUCGUCCUCGGAGCAACCUUCCAUUUCGAGAUUGGCAAGGCUCGUUGUCCUUCUGACUAGCCAACCCCAGUUAAUAACCAAAGCUUAUUGUCCGGUUCUAUUUGGGCUUUUUAUUUAAUUAUGGGCUUUUUAUAAUUUAUGGGCUUUUUACUUUUUUACUAAACAUGUAGUAUUAUUAUUGAGCUAAUAAAUCAGCGUGCUUUUAGGCUAAAAUAUUCUCCACCAAUUUCGAAUCAGGUGAAUUUAAAUUUCUUUUGCACGUUAGUAGAAAUUGAUGUUAGAUAUGUUCGAAACAUCUGGCAGAAUACAGUUAUUUUUUUAAGUGUUGACAAAAAAAGAGAGUUAUUUUUCAAAUCUCUUUUAUAUUAUUUGAGGAGCACUCUUAUUAAAUAACCUUAUCUUCAUGUGAUUAACCAAAAUGCCAUUACUUAGGUGUCAUCAUUAGGACUCUUCUCACAACCUUACAUUAAAAGUCCUCCCUUGCCUAGAUCAAUUACAUGUGAUGCCAUUACUCAUUAUAAAUAGGCAAAAUUAUACUAUAUGUUUGGUAUAGAACCGAAAUUAUUCUAUCUGACAUCCAUUAGCUAAACCUGAAAUAACUCAUUUAUUUGUUUUAACCAAAUCCGGAAUUUUAUGUAGAUUCAUCUAUGGUAUAACAACUGUGUUCUAAAAUAAUCGUUGAGCCAUAUUUAAGUUUUGAAAACGUAUUCAUCAUGUACAUUGAAAUAAACAAAUUUAUGUUAUAUAAUGUAAAUUACACUAUAUUAAAAACUCGACAUUUCAAUUUCAAUGACCAAAACUUACUCAUUCACUAACACAAUAAAAAAUCCAUAUGAGGAUGACAACUACAAAAAACGUGUAAAAUAAUAUAUAACAGUUUGGUAAUAUCGUGAAAAAAUUAUUUUGCUAACAAUCACUGUUAUUAAUAAUAUAUAACAUUAGCAUAUACACUAAAGUUACGUGAAAGACAAAGGAACCAAAGACAAAAAAAGUAUCUGUUACUAAAAAUAUAUAACAUUAGGAUAUACUCAACAGUUAUGUUAUCAAAUAUGAACCAAUACGCUUACUAUAUCAAAACUGUUGUUGUCUUUGAUGAAUAUGCUUAUUGUAGUUAGAAGAGACCAGAUACACAUUUAGUCUAACGCAAUUUAGACAAUUUUUAAUAAUCUUAAAAACCUGAAAUAUUAUUUGGGUCUCAUUAGUAUGUACCAACUUGGAGCAGUGUCGAAGUUAAAUUCAAAAAAAAAUUGUAAUCUUAUAAAUUUUUAUUGCCAUCUAUUUUUUUUUUGAACAACCAUUGCCAUCUAUUUAUAUGUUGCAUCAACAGGUGUGUAAAAGGUAACUCUAUAUAUGCAAUGUUCUUUAUAUAUAUUUAUUAUAACGACAUUAUUCUGUAUACAUAUAUGUGACUCGUGUAGUAAUUAUAGUGUGUGUUAAGGAAAGUAUUUAUGUAAUAUGUAUCACUAAUUUAGCGAAAAUAAUUUGUGUAUCUUUGACUCAAUAUAGCUAUAUUAUCCUAUAUACAUAUAUGACCAUUGAUUAUAAUGUGUGUUAAGGAAAAUAUUAUUGUGACAUGUACCACUAAUUUAGCAAUUUAUUUAAAAUUUUUUGAUGCAAUCGUUUUUAUACUUUAGUUGUCAUAUUAUCAUCUAUAGUCGAACUAAUCAUGAUAAAUCACUGUUCCAUGUUUCUACAAGACCUUUGUGGAGAUUUGGUUGCUGUAAAUGAUAUUCAAUAUAUAGAAGAUCUGCAAGCAAAUGAUGAUUAUCAGAUUACUUUUAUUCGUAGACAAUUAUGGUUUUUUUUUAAAGAGUCAGAUUUUUUUUACUAAAACUAUUACAUAUAAAAGUAUGAGUUAUUCUUCUUCGACAACCACUGGAAUUUUAUUAUUUCAAAUUCGAUAUCUUUUUAAAAAGAAAACAAAAUAUUUUCAAGUUAUAUUAUAUUUUUAAAAUAAAAAAAUAAAAAAAUUGUAGUUACAGAAAAGAAAAUAUUAAAAAAAUAUUUUUUACGUCGUUAGCAGAAUACUAAACCCUAAAUCCUAAUCUCUAAACCCUAAAUACGAAACUCUAAACCCUUGGGUAAACCCUAAACCCUUGGAUAAAUAAUAAACUCUAAAUCAAAAACAUUAAACAAUAAAAUCCUAAAUCCUAAACCAUAUUAAAAAAAUAUUUUUUACGUCGUUAGCAGAAUACUAAACCCUAAAUCCUAAUCUCUAAACCCUAAAUACGAAACUCUAAACCCUUGGGUAAACCCUAAACCCUUGGAUAAAUAAUAAACUCUAAAUCAAAAACAUUAAACAAUAAAAUCCUAAAUCCUAAACCGUAAACUCUUGAGUGUAUUAGUGUUUAGUGUUUUCGGUUUAGAGUUUAUUAUUUAUCUAAGGUUUAGAAUUUACCCAAGGGUUUAAGUUUUAAGAUUUAUGGUUUAUACAAUAAGAUUUAGGGUUUAGUUUUUUUCCUGGCGAUGUUAAUUUUUUUUUGUAAUUAUUAUUUUUAUUUAUUUAUUUAUUUUUACCUUUUUAUUUUAAAAACAUAAUAUAACUUGACAAUAUUUUGUUUUCUUUUAUAAAAGAUAUUAAAUUUGAAAUAAUGAAAUCUUAUUGGUUGGUAAACCUAGAUGUUCACCGUAGGGGUGAACCCAAGAAUAAGUCUAAAAGUAUUAGUAAAACUAUUUCUUUUAGUCGUCAACAAACUCAUUUCUUUCAAUUCCUACACCUCAUCAAAUGGAAAAGCCCAAACAUAAUUUAUAUAUUGAUCUCUAUAUCAGACGUUACAUCUACAAUUAUAUAACAUGUAUAUAUUUGUUAUAAUGACUUUUACAUUUCAAAUAUAUAUAGAUUAAAAGUUAUAAAUUCUAUUUAAAUAAAUUCACUCUGCGCAGGGCACGGUAGAUCACCUAAGAGCUGAUAUUAUAUGUAUUUUAUGGGAUAUGUGACAUUCAUGUUAUGCAUGGACAAUAUAAACUCAAUUAUAUUGUAAAAUCAAAAUGUUGUAUAUAAAAAAGUUAAACCUAAUCUUGAGUGAUUGCAAAAUAAAAUCAAAAAGGAAUGACAUAAUAAAUUUCUUUGAAUCCCUUAACUUUUGCAACAAAUUUUUUUUUAUUACGAAAUUAACAUAAAUUGUGAUAAACAUUAAAUUUGGAAAUUUAUUUAAUUAUUUCCGGUUAAGUUUGAAGUCAAAUAUCAUUUAAUAUGAACUUCUUUUAAAUAUGGAGAUUUGUUGAUAGGGCCUUUGUCAAUUUACAAUCUAUCGAUUCGAAUUUCCCGAGAUUUGAGUCACUCGAUUCAGCUUCCAAUCUUCUUAGGUAUUGUGAUUGAGUUUAUUUCACAAAACAUGGAUAUCUCAAGUGACUAAGAGUUAACCCAAACCAUGUAUUUUGACUCAUAAUGAAUAUUAAGGUUUAAUAAUUGGUCUCUUUUACAAUUUCGAGUCCUAAUCAGUCCACUAAAUUAUAAAAUUCAUAUUAUUUACUUUUUUAACCUCAUAUUAUUUACUUCAAUUUAUUUUUAUUCUUCUACAAUUUUUAUGUACUCCAGAACCAAUAUAAUUUUAAUAAAAUAUAACAAUAUUUUUUUCUGGACAACUAAAAUAUAACAAUAUAACUUCGAUAUUUUAGUCUAUUCAUCCCGCGCAAGGCGCGGAUAUCACCUAGUACUAAUUAUGGAAGUGUCUAUUUUCUUAAUCUCUCAUUUCAAAGGUAAAGAUAUAAAUUACAGUCAUCAAUUUGGGAUAACAGUUGCUCUUCCGGCUGUUCCAAUUUUCCUGUGUACAAGCAUCCUAUUUGGCUUGUCUUAAUGUCCUAAACAAUUAGGUUUUUACUUUGAAUGUGAACCUGCUCUUGAACGAAAUAUCUUCAUGAUUUCAUUUCAUGUGUUUGAUUCUACUACUGUCUGGUUAUAAUGGUUAUAUGUUGUUAUUUUAACCACAUGUAAGAAAAGAGAAACGAUCCCACGUUUAUACUCAAAUUCAAGAAUAUAACACAAAUCCUCUCACAAUUCUAUUAGAUUGUAAGAAAGAAACUCAUAAAAUAUUUUAUAAAUAACAAAAGGACAAGUAAAUAGAGUCGAUCUGGAACAUAAAUAAACUAACGGGUCUUGUGGGGUUUAGAGAUUUUCUUCUUUCUCUUCUUGACAGAUUUGGGUGUCUUGUUCUUCCUAGCCUCCCUCUUCUCUUCUUUUACUUUCUUCUUGUGCUCUUUCCUUGCUGCUUUCUUGUCCUCAGGACCCAACUCCUCUUCACUCUCACUUUCACUUUCCUCUUCUUCGUUUUCACUUUCUUCUUCUUUUUCACCUCCUCCUUCCUCUAUCUUAUCUUCAACAUCAACCUUUACUUGCUGCUCAUCUACUUUAGGAAGAGCAUCCUUAAGCCCUGUUAUUGUUUGGUACAACAUGUCUCCUGUGUCCUGCCCGCUUGUUAUCUUCUCCACAUCAGCUUCCGGGUUCUUCACAGCGUCCAGAGACUUCGGUAUGUAUGACUGAUCACCAUAACAACCAAAACAAUUAAGAUUGAAAUAAUCUUUCAGACAUUAUUUCUAAUGACUAGCUAUAUACUUCACUUACCUUCAUGAAUACUGAAUCCGCGAUCUCAUCCUCUACGGAUAGCUCUCCUCGCUCUAUCACUUUCCGUUGGACCUGACAAAUAUUACACACUUCAUUAGUUUAGCUUAAACGUGGAGCUCCCACUGGUUAAUAAGUUACAUACCUCUUCCAAAUAGCUAUCAACAUUCUCGUCUGAAAUCGUUGGGUCCACUAUGAAGUCAAAUAGCUCCCUUAUGGUCAUUACAGCAACACCAUGUUUCUUGAAAAAAUCCUGCACGUGAAAUGUCGAAAUAAAACAUACAUGAGAUACACCAUUAUCCAGUCAAAUCAAGUAUUGUUAAAAUCGUCAAGCACUUACUGAAACGUGGUCACAAUCUUCCCGUAGAAAAGUGAGGGCAAGAGGAUGGUCCAGAUCCACAGAUUGUGAAACAUCAAUUAUAUAAAGGUGCCCCUGAGAAAAGAUCAAGAUAACAUCAAUAAGUGAGUCAUGUAAACCCAAAAGAGGUCCUUUAAGAACAAAUAUAACUCAGAACUCACCUCGAAAUAAAGUAUGUUAUACUCACUGAGAUCUCCAUGCACCAGUUUGCACUUCUGAUAUAAUGUUCUCAUUUGGAUUAUCAACUGUACACAAAAAAAAAAAAAAAAAAUAGNNNNNNNNNNNNNNNNNNNNNNNNNNNNNNNNNNNNNNNNNNNNNNNNNNNNNNNNNNNNNAAAAAAUCGAACGAAAAGAUGUCAGCAAACUUCCCAUUUAUGAUAGCAAUGAGACCAAUAAAGAGAUUAAGCCACUCGCAUGCCUCUAGAUAAGACUCGCGUAACUUGUCUAGUGAUAGUGCAGCAUCCUUGAGACGCGGUGCAGCCCAGCCAUCUCUUCCUGCAAAUUUAUAUAAUAAAAUAAAAAAAAAUCUUAAUUUGACUAGCUAACUGAAAUAUCUGUAUUUCAUCAUCUCUGUUUGAAACACCUGAAAAUGAUGAGAAUUCUUGAAUAAGUGACCAGAACAACAGAUAAUGCAUUAGAGCGAACCUAUAAACUCCAUGACUAGAACAUGAAGUCGUAGAAGUAUAGGAACUGGACAUCUAAUUCCUNNNNNNNNNNNNNNNNNNNNNNNNNNNNNNNNNNNNNNNNNNNNNNNNNNNNNNNNNNNNNNNNNNNCCUGCUGCCUGAAGCCUGCCAAUGAAACAUGUAUUAUAUAUAUUAAACCAAGGAUUAUGUUUGGAAAACAAGAUAUGUUAACCUACAGUAAUCAUGUUUCAUGCGUAUUAAGUGUACUACCAGGAUUCAGUUAUUCUAAUUACACUCAUAGUCUUAAUCUCCAGUACACACAACAAUAACGAAUUGUAUGUUCUUUUUUACCUCUUAAGAUUUCUGUGUUCUUUCUCAGCCCACGUCUUCACCAUCUUCCGGGGAUUAUGCUUACAGUAGCCAUGUCUGAAACGGUAAUCUCCUUGUACAUAUCGAUCUCGAUCCCUAGAAUCAUCAAAGUUGAAAACAACGUUUCACAGGGUCAAUAACAAUAUGGUCUCAAAGUCCAAAUUUUUUUGAUAAGAAAUGAUUAAAGAACAUGUAUUAAACUCACUUGAAGACCAGAACUGAUGUCUUGUACACUUUUAUUGCAAGCUCCGCACCAUCAAACUUUGUAGCAUGAUAAACAUUAGCCUAUAAAAGAGAGCGCUGUUAACAAACGAAUCUAUCUAUACACGUUGGUGGUGCUACUUAAAUAAUAAUUAUCGAAAAUGAGUGACAUACUUCUUUGCCUGUGGAAAUACAUCCAUUAACAUCAUUAAACACACCACGAUUAAGCAUCCUAAACAACACCAUACGUGUCCUCGGAUCAAGCGCCUGGUCAAAACAAAACAAACAACAUCAGCACAUUCAGACAAGAUUGUUUUUUUUUACAACAUAAGCACAUUCCGACAAGACUGUGUUUUUUCUAAAACUAAGAAAAAUUUUCACCUGUUCAACCGUCGCCCUGUCUGCUUUAUCAGUGUUCCUGCUCCUCCCGAUCUCCGUGUCUCUGAGACUCCCACGUAUCGCAGUCGUCACGGAGUUCGACAUCCCGACUUUAACUCUACCUUCCCACGCCUCCAACGGGGACGCGCGGACAUGGCUGGAAAGCUUCUGAGCCUUGUUAGAAAGAGGCUGAAGAGCGCCCGAGUUAGGCCUAGCUCCAUUUCCGCCGUGGGCGUUGGGACGACGAGCGUGCAGAGAGAAGCCGCCACCGAUGAGCUCGUCGUCGUCUUUGCCGUCUAGCCAGUCUAGAGCUUCACCUAUGUCGGAGUCUGACGAGAUAGAAAGAUCGGAGUCGUCGUCAUCGUCUUCCAUCUGCUCGUCGUAAUCCACAAUCGCCGGAGAGAUAGUCGGAGGCGGCUCUGCUAUAACUUCUUCCAUCUUUUGUUUUGGUUAAAGAGAAGCGGCGAGAAGGAUUCAGAAGAAGAUAUCGAAACCCUUUUUUCUUUAUUUAUCAGCUAGCCUAAACCGGUUUUCAAUUAAAUUGGUCUAGGUCUUUGGUUCGUGCUCGGUUUGAAAGUUUGGUCGAUUAGGCUUUAUCCCGUAACAAAUUCUAUUUGGUUAGAUUUGGUUUUGCUUGGGGGAAAAUCUGGAAUAGAGUAGUGCACACAUAUUUGUGUUGGCCCCCAAAAAAAGUGUUCCAAACAAAAAUAGCGAUUACUCAUUCUACAAAAUUAAUUUUGGUAUGUUCAGAUGUUUUCAUUUUGUUAAAGGGUUUGGUAUGUUCAGAUGUUUUUUUCGUUAAAAAGAUAAUUUUUAUUUAUUCAGUUUUGAUUGCACAAAUCUACCUUCGGUUCGAAUUCGAUGUUUAGUUGAUGAUUGUUGGUUUUGUUAUUUUAAAACUGAUUUGGGUUGUGUGGAUUCGGCUCCAGCCCUUUCGUUAAAGCAGUUGGGCCUCCAUGAUACACUAGAUAAUAAUGGGUCUAGACGACGAGUUCUAAUUACUCGAUGAUGUAUAUAUGGUAUGCCCUAGGUCAAGUGCUCAACACAGUUUGUGAUCAACAACAGAGAUCAGGUUUUGAAGUUGUAUAGGAGAAAGGAGGCGCGUUAAUAUAUGACAAAACAUAUAGAACAUAUUUGAGCAUAUUCUUGUUCUAGUUCAGAUUUUACUAAUAUAUUCUCUUGAUAAUCUAAACCAUCGUAGUUCUAUAAGUUAUUUGUUCUUGUAAAUUUUAUUGAUAUAGUGGAAUUAAGAGUAAUUGUCUCCCACGAGACAUGCUAGUUAGAGGCCGUGAAAUUGUUAAAGUUGCUUGCGUUCAGUUACUUACAAUACAAGUAAUAGUUGAUGGAUAAAGGCUUCGUUCAAUAACACGAGGCUAAAAUGUUACAAAGUGGUAUCAUAGCUUCUAGGUUGAAGACAUGUGAUUAAUCUAAACUAAGAGGAAGGUCAUAAUCAUAAUAUCAAACUUCUCGCUUUGGUUUUGUGUUUUUUCCAUCUUCGGCCAUAAAUGUCAACAAGUCAUGUUCAGUUAAAAUCUCUAUCAGGUUUCAGUUUGUUUUCCAAAAUUUUAGAUUUACAAAAGGUACGUACCUAAUUUAUUUGCUUAGUUCGGAUAACCAGAGUUUUUGAGGUCAUUUGGCUUUUAACCAUAAACCAUGGUUGUAUCUUUUAUAAAAUUUUCCCAAUUUUAUUUUAUAUGGUUACAUAAUAGUUUUUCUAAAAUAUUUUACUAAAACAGAGAAAUAAACUAAUUUAGUUUUGGUAAUUUUAAUAUAUCAUUUUAUCAUAUUUUGUGUGAACCCAAAUUGCAUUAUUUACACAGAGGUGUGGCAAUUUAAAGGAGUUAUAAAUAAUUAGAAAUAAAAAAGCAACAGUUAUAAAUAUGUGCUUAUUUAUCUAUAAAUAAUAAUAAGAAUAAGGUUGCUAUUUUUUAAUAUUACAUAUCAGUUCGAUAUUAGCGGCUUGAUCUUCGUAACUAGUUACUAGAUAAUCCCAAUUUCAAAAUUCUUUAUCGUUUAUCCAUGACCAACUAUUUGAGUUCACAAUAUUUUGUUUCCUUGAAGCCGAUUUAAAGAACUCUCUGAAGAUAUUGUAACAUCAAAUUUUUCUUCAGAGAAGUGAACAUUGUAAGCUACUUAAAAGGUAUCGGAGAAACAGUAAAUAUCUGUUGCAUUAUGACAUAAGUUCAUUUCUGUAUAUUCUGAGAGUAACCAAAUACCGUUUGAUUCAAAUCAGGUUAAUCAUACGGUAUUAAAUUAAUACUCGACUUUCGAUUUAUAAAUUUUUAUGUGUUACAUACAAAAAUAGACUUUGAUCGAAGAAAAUAUACAAAUGGACUUUCAUUAUAGAUGGAAAGUAAUCUUUUAAUUUAAAAUGGAAACAUUUUAUUUUGAAAAUACCAACUUUGUUAUUUAGUGUUCUUUAAUAAUGCAUACAUAUUUAAAAAAAAAUCGCAAUGAAUUAAAAUAAGUAUUUAAUUGAAAGCCAAAAAGUAUUCAAAAUAUUUCUUUGUAAACCUAAUAAAUAUUCUCAAACAAUUAACAAAAACUUAGUUAAAACUGCAAAUAUUCACUAAUUAUUAAUUAGUAUUAUCAUGUAUGGUAAAUAUUUAAAUAGACUCAUAAAAUUUUAGUCAAACUUUUCAGAUAAUUUAUUACUUGUAUUUAUUGCAGAAGUUUGUCUAAGGAUAUUGCAUUACUAUGGUAAGAAAAUUAAACAAAGGAUAAUAAUUAUGGUAGAGAAUUCAAAACUAUUAAAAUAAAUUAAACAACAACAUUAACCGUGUAAUAAAAAAAAUUAGAUUUUUCUGUAUAUGUUAUAUUUUGAAUUUUUAAAAACGACUAUAAAUUACUAAAACUGUUAAAAGUCUCACAUUCAAAUUUUGUGAUCUAUGUUUUAAUUUUUUUUAUGACAAAAUACAAAUGAUUGCAAAAUCAUAUAAGUAAAAAGUCUAAUUUAAUUAAUUAUAUACCACAUAAUACAUAAAUAUUUUAGUUUCAAAAUUUACUUUGAACAAUUUUUUUUAUAAAAGUUUUGAACAAAAAUUGACAACUUAUUUUUUAAAAAUUUACUUUGAACAAUUUUAAUUUAAAAAUUUAAUUUGAACAAUAUUUUUUGAUAAAAGAUUUGAACAAAAAUUGACAACUUAUUUUUUUUUAAAUUAUAAAUUACUAAAACUAUUAAUCAAUGAAAUUUUGUUAUGAAUAAUUUAAAUUUUUUUGUAUAAAAGAUACAAAUGAUCAAAAAGCCGUAUGAGUAGGAAGCAUCAUUUAAUAAACAUUAAUAUUAAAAAUAUACUAUGAAUGUGAAUAUCAUUUAAAUUUAGUUAUAUAUCAUAUCAAAUAAAAAAACAUUGUUUGGAAUAAUAAAAUUGAUUUAUAUUUUCGCACCAAUUUAAUUAUAUAUGUAAUANNNNNNNNNNNNNNNNNNNNNNNNNNNNNNNNNNNNNNNNNNNNNNNNNNNNNNNNNNNNNNNNNNNNNNNNNNNNNNNNNNNNNNNNNNNNNNNNNNNNAAAAUCUAAAAGAAUACUCUUCUAUCAACAAAAGUUUUUCUUAUCCUAAUUUAUAAAUCACAACCCCAAAUCUACAAUACUUAUCUAUAAUAAUGAAAAACUUUCCUAAAAUAGAAUUUUUAAAAAUUAUAUUUAAAAAAUACAAUAUAUUGAUAAAAAAAUCAAACAAAAUACUCUUCUAUCAACAAAAAUUCUUGUUAUCCUAAUCUCUAAACCAAAAUCCCAAAUGUACAAUAUUUCUCUACAAAAAUGAAAACUUUCUUAAAAUAGAAUUUUUGAGAAUUUUAUUUGUAAAAUACUACCUAUUGAUAAAAAAAUUUAAAAGAAUCCUCUUCUUUCAACAAAAGUUUUUCUUAUCCUAGUUUAAAAAUCACAACCCCAAAUCUACAAUAUUUAUCUAUAAAAAUGAAAACUAUCCUAAAAUAGAAUUUUUGAAAAAUUUAUUUAAAAAAUACAAUAUAUUGAUUAAAAAAAUCAAACAAAAUACUCUUCUAUCAACAAAAAUUUUUGUUGUCCUAAUUUCUAAACCAUAAUCCCAAAUGUACAAUAUUUCUCUACAAAAAUGAAAACUUUCCUAAAAUAGAAUUUUUAAGAAUUUUAUUUUUAAAAUACAACCUAUUGAUCAAAAAAUCUAAAAGAAUACUCUUCUAUCAACAAAAGUUUUUCUUAUCCUAAUUUAUAAAUCACAACCCCAAAUCUACAAUAUUUAUCUACAAAAAUGAAAACUUUUCUAAAAUAGAAUUUUUGAAAAUUUUAUUUUUAAAAUACAACCUAUUGAUCAAAAAAUCUAAAAGAAUACUCUUCUAUCAACAAAAGUUUUUCUUAUCCUAAUUUAUAAAUCACAACCCCAAAUCUACAAUACUUAUCUAUAAUAAUGAAAAACUUUCCUAAAAUAGAAAUUUUUGAAAAUUAUAUUUAAAAAAUACAAUAUAUUGAUAAAAAAAUCAAACAAAAUACUCUUCUAUCAACAAAAAUUCUUGUUGUCCUAAUCUCUAAACCACAAUGCCAAAUGUACAAUAUGUCUCUACAAAAAUGAAAAUUUUCCUAAAAUAGAAUUUUUGAGAGUUUUAUUUUUAAAAUACAACAAUUUGAUCAAAAAAUCUAAAAGAAUACUCUUCUAACAUUAAAAAUUUUCUUAUCCUAAUUUAUAAAUCACAACCCCAAAUCUCAAUAUUUGUCAAUAAAAAUGAAAAACUUUCCUAAAAUAGAAUUUUUAAAAAAAUUCUUUAAAAAAUACAAUAUAAUGAUAAAAAAAUCAAACAAAAUACUCUUCUAUCAACAAAAAUUCAUGUUGUCCUAAGCUCUAAACCACAAUCCCAAAUGUACAAUAUUUCUCUACGAAAAUGAAAACUUUCCUAAAAUAGAAUUUUUGAGAAUUUUAUUUUUAAAAUACAACCUAUUGAUCAAAAAAUCUAAAAGAAUACUCUUCUAUCAACAAAAGUUUUUCUUAUCCUAGUUUAUAAAUCACACCCCCAAAAUCUACAAUACUUAUCUAUAAUAAUGAAAAACUUUCCUAAAAUAGAAAUUUUGAAAAAUUUAUUUAAAAAAUACAAUAUAUUGAUCAAAAAAAUCAAACAAAAGACUCUUCUAUCAACAAAAAUUCUUGUUGUCCUAAUCUCUAUACCACAAUCCCAAAUCUACAAUAUUUCUCUACAAAAAUGAAAACUUUCCUAAAAUAGAAUUUUUGAGAAUUUUAUUUUUAAAAUACAACCUAUUGAUUUUUUUUUUUUUUUUUUUGUUUUUUAAAAUACAACCUAUUGAUCAAAAUGUUGUUUUGUAGUUUUGGCGAGUAAAAAUGUUUUUCCGAUUUUGGCGAGAAAAUAUGUUUUUUGCAGUUUUAGUGGUAAAAUGCAUUUUGCGUUUUUGGCGGAAAAUUCAUAACACAUGUCGACAUCUGUUCCUAAUAGAGUCCAUCUUUUGUAAAAUCUUUUUGACAUUUUUUUAGUAAAGAAGUUUAUACAUGAAACAAUCAUAUAACAAAUAGACUACCAGAUGAUAUUUACUCUAUUCCGCAUUGUUUUGACAACAAUCUGGAAUAAUGUAUUAGAAUAUAAAAUGUUAUGCACAUUACACCAAAUGUUUUGUACAAGGCAUUUUUUAGAAGUCGAAAAAGAAAAGAAAUUACUCUCUAUCCGACUUGAAGUGAGUUAACCUCUUUAGCAGAACCUCCACAAUACAAAAUUUCUUGAUCUACAAUCUAUUUCACUUUUCAAAUUAACACACCAAAACCAUGUACAAAAUAAAAAGACGAAUAUACCCCUUUUAAACAUGGUAGAUCAUACCAACUUCUAACGUCGACGCAUGAGGCGAGGUAAGUGCGGUUCUUGGACCUCUAGUGUUCCUCCUAAGAAACUCGUAUACAACGUUAAUAGCCACUCUCUUCACCAACCCUGACCCAUGCUUCGCUCUCAUAUACGCGUUUCCCAUUAUAUAAGCCACGCCUCCCUCACGCGCCUCCGUUAGCUCCAUCAACUCCUCUCUAGUCUCUUUCUCUAUCUUCGGAGUCUCCGGCACGAUAAACCUCACUUUCUUUUUAACCUUACUCUUCUUCUUCUUCUUCUUCCUCGCCAUGGGAGAACGAAUCUCUGACGUCCCGGGCUUAUCCGGAUCGUCAGAAUCGCUCCCGUCGUGAUCCUCGACCCCUUGCAUGUACGUCGAACAAGUUCCGACCACAGACAUUCUCUCAUCAUCAUCAUCAUCUCCAUUAGUCUCCGCAACGACCGCGGUCGCAGCUUCAGACCGGACAAACUCAGCGAUGCUGCACACAAGAUCUCCUUCGAACUCGAUGUCGUCUUUGUGGACGUCCCGGUACCCGUACCGCACGAUGCACCGGUACAUCCGGUACUGUUUCGGCCCCACGCGUCCGACCAGAAACAGCUCCUCGGGUCGGACGUGCGGGACCGGGACGGACUUAACGCAGAGGAAAACAAGCACUUGGUGGAAGGCAGGGAGGUUGGUGACGAAGUGAGAGAAGAUCGCCGGGACGCCGGAGACGAGCUCGGUGUGUAUGAGCCCGACGCCGCGGACGCGUUUGAUCCCCAGCGUCUGGCCGAGGCUGAGGAGCCAGUUGACCGAGACUUUGUUCUGCACGUCGAACUCGUAACGCUUGAGCGUCCCGUAGUGCCACGUGCACAUCGCCGCAAGGAAGCAUAAGGAGAGGGCGACUGGAACCCACGCGCCUUCGAGGAACUUGAUGAGCGAAGCCGUGAAGUAGAGCGACUCGAUAGUGCCGAAGAAAACAACGAAAGCGAUAGCGAAGAGGAUGUUCUUGUGCCAGCAGAGCACGAUCACUAGUGACAUCAGACAUGUCGUCACCAGCAUAACGGUUAUAACCGCCAAACCUAUAAAGAAAACAUUAGUUAGCAACUGUCUUAAACUACCUGAAGUAGGUGUUAAAGUCACAUACCUGAAGCAUUACCCAACCGCUUAGUGUCUCUAAACCCGAUGGUGACAGCUAAGCAAAGGACCAUCAAGAGCCAGUUGAUCUCAGGGAUGUAGAUCUGACCGUGGAUUUUCGACGACGUAUGAACAAUCUUCACUUUGGGGAAGCAUCCCAACGCAGAGCACUGUUUGAUGAUGGAGAACGUUCCGGUGAUGAUGGCUUGGCUUCCAACAACAGCAGCGAGUAUAGCGAUCACAAGAACAGGCCAUCUCAGUUUCUCUGGCACAGAUACAUAGAACCCAAUGUUGUAACUGGUGUCGAUGACAUGAUGCUGAGAUAGAUAAGCUGCUUGUCCCAUGUAAGCAAGUAUCAAAGACGGGUAAACAAGUGAUGUAAAAGCAAUCUGCAAUAAGAAAAAGAUCCUUCAAUAAAACUUCGAAUAAACAAAACAAAAAAAAACUAAUUUAAAAAGUCUAGACGCCCACCCAGGCGCGCUUAUAAGCCUCUGGUCUAGUUACGGUCUAGCGAUUUCUUGAACAUUACCUUGAUGGAGAGUUGAGAGAAAUGACCGAGAUCAGCAAACAUCGCUUCUGAGCCUGUAAUGCAGAGCAAGAUCCCACCAAGGGACAUCCAACCUCUGCUCUGAGUUUUCUUGAGAAAUUUGUACAUGUAAUAAGGAGAGAGGGCUUGGUACACAUGCGGGUUCCAAUGGAAAAUGUUGUAAACACCGAUGGCGCUUAUGCACAUAAGCCACAGCAGAAUCACCGGAGCGAACAAGAACCCGACUCGGUGUGUACCGUAGUGCUGGAGCGCAAACAAACCUAUCAAAAUUACACAAGCAGCAGGUACUUCUAUAUCUGCACAAGCAAACAAAAAACAGAGAAAAAAAAAGUUUCAAACACAAUCAGAAUAACAUUUAUUACAAGAUCAUGGCCGUUACGGGUAUAUUUAGACAAAGAGUUGAUAACACAAAGAUCCAAAUGUUUAGUUUUGGAUAAUAUUGUAUAUAAACAGCCACUUGAUAAGAGCAGAGAACAAUCCAAAACGCUUAUUCAAUAGGUAUGGGGCCAUCAAAACAAACCGGAAAGUGAUGCACUAUACGUGUUACGUGCAAAACAAUGUCAAAGCAAUCUAAUAAACAGAUGGUGGGAACAACGGCUGCUGAGUAAAGAAACCGAUGACUUUCUGAAUAGCAAAUGCGAUAUCACAAAGAUUUAACGUUUUGAGAUUGAAACUAAUCAAGAAAAAAAAGAACUUACACUUGUGAUGCUCCUUGGCCGUUGAAAGCUCAACACCUGAUACUGCAGAAAAAACUGUAACAGACAACACAAAAGAAUGAACAGUUGAUCCUGUCCUUGUCAGAGAGACAAGACAUCAAACAAGAACAAGUCAAAGUAAACGACUUUUUAUCUAAAACUCACCGGAAAUCGCAGGCGUUAGGACACCAUCACCAAUCACCAUACAAGUCCCGAUCAAAGCCAGCACGAGCAAAACCUUCUGCAGCACUCUCCGCUUCUCGAGCGUCGACUUCAACCUCGCCGCGAACCCCGACGGAGGGCCCAUCUCCUCCUCCGACGGCGACUCGGUCUUGUACUCGGCGAGCUGCUCGUCGGCCAGCUGGCAGCUCGGGAGCGAGUUGACCCGGGCGUGACGGCAGAGGAGGGAGUAGAGAGCGAAGGUGCCUCCUUCGCCGUUGUCGUCGGCUCUGAGGACGAUGAAGACGUAUUUGAAGAGAGGGACGAGGGUGAUGGUCCAGAAGAUGAACGACAAGACGCCGAAGAUCUCUUCGUUGGAGUCGGAGUGUUCGAUGUCUUCCGCGAAGGUGCUUUUGAAUACGUAAAGAGGAGAGAUGCUCAAGUCUCCGUACACGACUCCUAAGCUCUGAUAGGCUAAUGUCAGCACCGUUCUCCAUGAUUCCUUCUGCAAAAUCAAAUUAAAAGGUUUCGUUUUUAAGAAAAAAAGAUUCGGUGAAAACAAGGAUCGAUCUUUGAAUCGGUACCUUGACGGUGUUCUGAUAAGUUCUGGAUUCGAUAUCCAUGGUGGGUUUCUGGGGAGACUCAGGAGUUCGAGAAGUCCAUGAAUCCUUAAGAGAGUAGAGAUGUUAAAAAAAGCGAAUCUUGACGAAGCAAAUUGACUUCAGGAUUUUGUUUUUAUUACCAGACAGAACUGAACUGUUUUGAGGGACAGAGAAUGGUUAAGGAGAGAAUUUUUUUUUUUGAAAAAGGAAGGAUCCUAAAAGAAACAAAAGGCGAGACUUUUAAGAAAAAGAGAUCCGACUUUUUUUUUUUUUUUGGGUCAUGGUUGUUGUGUUGGGUUAACGAGUUUUUGAAGUUGAUUAGAGCAUGAUUAAUCCGGAUUUUAAUUUAGAGUUUUUAAUUUAUGAUUUGACAUAAAUUUUUUUUUUUUACAUUUUUCGGCUAAAAAUCAACUCUUAUAUCUUUUUAUUUACGAAACAGUUCUUAUCUUUUCUUAGUUAAAAGCUAAAAAAAAACUAAAAAAUCGUUUUUAUCCGAAGCUAAGAAUUUUACAAACCUGGGUUAAUCAAGUUCUUGCUUGAGAGAAAUAUUAAAUUUUGUUUUCGGCUCUCGAGGGGAUAUGUAUAGACUACUUCAAAAAUUGAUUAGUCAAACUCUUUCCAUAUGCUGAUAUUUAUUGAUAGUAAUCAGGUCUGGAUUUCCAUUUAAAUUAAAACUGAUUCUCUGAAUGUGUAUUUUUACCCCUGUUCGGAAAUACGCUAGGCGCUAGUCGGGCGGCAAUCCCGGGCCUAGCGAUUUAUCGAAAAUUCGGGGAUUAAUCGGGAUAUACGCGGGGACUAAUUUUAUUAUUAUUUUAUUUAUUAUAAUAUUUAAAUUAGAUAUAUAAUAUAAAUAUAGUAGAAAGUAAUAGUUUUUGGUAUGUUAUUAUCGAAAUUUAUAUUUAUUUUGUUUAACAAAGACUAAUUAUUAGCAAAGAUGAGUGUCAUAUUUUUAUUUUUUAUUGAAACAAUGUUUAUAUAUAAGGAAAUAUAUGCAUAAACAUCAAAACACGCCUUGGUCUGCUGGUGUUUGAUGAUGUUGAUGUUGUAUAAGGUACCGGGUUCGAACCUCAGGCAUGGCUUAUCCAAUUUUAGGUAAAAAAAUUUUAGAAACAUACAAAACAGAGUCCCACAUCGGUAAACUUUAAAGAGGGAAGCUGAUGUAAACGCCUAUAAGUAGUCAUUCAGAGUUGGUUUCGAAAAUUGCAUCAGGGUUUCAAUCUAUAAGAAGCCCAAUACUUUAAAUUUGUUCGGCCUUUUAGACGGUUAAAAAUCGGUUUCAAACCGAUUAAUCGGUUAUUUGACCGACUUGUUGGUCAACCGAGUAGUUGAGCCGUAUUGGCCUUAUUCGCCGCGGUUGCUUACCGCUGAGCGCCGAGCCGGACGCCUACUCGGCUAGGCGUCCGAGUUUUAGAACAUGGAUUCUUACUAUAUACUACCAAUUUUUUUUAAAAACGGUGUAAUUAUGAGGAAGAUUAAAAUGGGGAAAAGGUAAGUGCGUUGAUUGUGAAAAAAAGGACAAUAUGUGGUGCUUUGAUAAGUGGGAUACCGAUUCAUAUAGUUUAGGCUUUCUAUAAAGUGAAUUAUCACAUGAUUUCAAAGAUAAAUGUUAUGUUCAACUUUGAAGACAAGAUUUUAAAGAAAAAGAAGAAAUUACUUAUUGUUGGGUCCGGUUUUAGUCCACCCCAACUUUACUAAUUGUAUUGAUUUAUUUUGGUUUUACGAAAUCGUUUCGGAUUUAUAGUUUAAAUAUUUCACUAGAAAAUAAUAUUUGGUAUCUCCAAAGAUGGAAAGUAAACAAUAUAGUUAGAAAGACAAGAACAAAAAAAAUGUAAAAUACAAAUUUCGAUUAGAAAAUUAUGAAUGUACAGCAUGAAAAUGCCGCAAACCGUCGGAUCUUAUUGUCAACGUUAGGUUCAAUUUAUGAGAGUUUUGACACAUGUUUUGUCUAUCGCCUAAUGUUCGAUAUGCCAGAGUUUGGAAUUUAUGAAAGUGGACGAUUGUGGUUAUGAACGUUACUCCAUUAAAUUAUUGUAAUAUGGUUAACGCAGCGGUAGAAAACAUGUAUGAUUGCGAUUUCAUUUUUAAUUUUAAAACGAUUGGCUAUAGAAAGAGAGCUAUCAAUUUAUUUUAAAAACAAGAGAGACUUAUCAAAUGUUGGGCUUUCAAGCUAUGGUUAAGAGCCAAAGUUUUCUUGUUUGCGAUAUCAUUUUAAAUUUUCAACUAUUGGUUAUAGAAAGAGACUUGUUAACAUGUUUGUCCUUAAGUUAUAAACUAAAAGGCAACAAAAUUUUGUUUACCCCAAAUAAUAUUAAUAAAACUUGGAGACAAUUGUAUGAUAUCGUUGAAACUUGAAACCGCUCAGCAGCAUGGGCGGUGAGAACAAACCAUAUUUUAAAAUCAACCCACAACAUAAAAUAUGAGUUUUAUAGUCAAAAAUAAUGUUUGGUGUCCUCUUUUUUUUUGUCAACUUUUUAUUUUUAUUAUCAUAAAGUCCAUGAAAUUACAUAACUUAAAGACCUAGUUCUAGCAUCUUUGGGUAAAGCAUCAACAUACAUAAGCAAAGAUCGUGGUACAUAUAUAAUGGAAACUAAAAUAUUUUCUGCUUUAGUCAUAACCUUAAUGUCUCGCAGCAAAGAGGAUGCCUCCGUGAUACGGACUUCUUUGAUGGUUCUUUCAGUGGAAAACUGAUUCAACUCAUCAACCAGACACUUGCAGUCACUAAGGAAAAUGUUUGGUGUCCUCUUUCUCAACUAUUUGGUGUCUUUAAAAGUAAAAAAAAAGUAAAUUAAUAUUAUUUAGGGAAAUAAUUAAGUGAAAAUAUGGAAAAUGUUUGGAUAUAAUUUAUAUAUAUAGUAAAUAAGAAUUUACAGAUGAUUGAAUCAGUUGUGAUUUUAGUGAAACAGCAAAUGAAUAUACUGUAAAAAAUUCUAUAAAUUAAUAAUGUUAGAAUUAUAGUAUUUUAUUAAUUUAUAGAGUUAGUGAUUUACAAUUUUUUUUUAGAUUUUUAUACUUUCAUAAUAUAUUUUUAAUAAGAAAAAUAUUUGAUUUUAUUGUACAUAUAUUAAUUAAAUUUUAGAAAAGUGACUUUUGUAUCGUUUUUCUUAUACUAUUUAUGUUUCAUAUAAUUUAAUAUGGUUUUUGAUAUAAUUUUACUAAAUAUUAUCAAAAUAUAGUGAAGUGUUAAAAAUAGAGAUGAACUCCACUGUGAAUAUAAAAUAAAUAAUACAAUUUUUUGUUUUUACUUAUAUAAAUCUUAUAUAAAAAUUAUUAAUAUGUGAUUUUAGUGAAACUAUAUAUUUACAUAUGUUUUUUUAAAAAAAUAUUAUAUUAUUAUAUUAUCGAUUUGUGUAAUAUUUUAAAAUAAGUUUUUAUAGGAAAAAAAUUAAAAGGGUAUAUCCGGAAAGAUUUAAAAACAAAUGUAACAGAACCUAUAAGAUAUUUGAAAAAUAUAGCUUGUUUCCAAAGAUUAUCUGAUGUUUAAGUCAAAUGAUUUCUAUGAAAUAUAAUUAUCAAAAAGAUGAAAAUUAACUGGAAAAUGUUGUCCGAAAUUAGGAUUUCUAUCUUUCUUUCUUUUUCACUGAAAAUAUUAGAUUGAAACUUGAAAGAUACAAUACAUACAAGGAAGAAAACUAAACCGGCAGAGAUUAAGAUUCCUAUCUACCAAAUGUGUUUAGUUUUAUGUAAAAGGUUGUCCAUCAAAUUAUGUCUAUGGUUGUACUUGUAUGGUGAGACUAUCUGUACAUACCUGAUACCUAUUAAUACUUAUGCUCCACGAGUCGAUGCUGAUUAAAUUAACGUUCACAAUUAAUAAAUGAUUGAAUAUGUUUUCAAUACUAUUCAUCGACCACACAUAUAUUAUAUGAUAUCCAAAAACACCCAUGCGUUUUUCACUUAAGCAGCCAUCUAUUUAUCAGAAUUAUAUCUAAUUUGCUUUUAGCUUCGAUGGUGGAAUCUAUAACAGAAUAAUUCCCUUUAGCAACCACUUUCUAAUUUGGCUAAAGUGGUACAACACCACUGAAUAAAUAAAUCAUGUAAAAUAUAAUUCAAUUUGAGGUUUUACACAAUUAUUUAUGCUUCUCUAUAGGGAUCCACAUAUUCGUGGAUAAUUCUAUUUAAUUUAUUAAUUAAGAGUUCUACGGAAUUAAUAAGACCAUACAUGUUAAACUCAUAAAGCUAAUAUAUGGUCUUUAACUCUUUAUAAUCUUUCGCUUUAUAACAAAGUAUCUCAUUAAAAAAAAGUUAUACUGCCGUCUUCUUUUUGUCAAUUUGAUUCGCUUCAAUUAUUCGAAUUUUUAAUCAAAUUUUAUAGUAAUUUGGUGUAGUUGUUUUGGGUGAUGAUGUAAAGUUAAGCGAACGAGUUUCAAAGAAAUAAAUGAAGCGAACGUACGAGUGUAGUUACUAGAAUUAACGUCGAACUGACCCACACGUGCAUGGAAUUAAUAUCAAGAUCAUGACAGUUAGAAACGUUUAUUACGAUUUCGGUUUGUUGCGAACCGGAAACCACGUUGUCAUUUCUGGACACAUUCUUAACCAUUCUGGAAUCACCGGUUUAUAUGGCGUGUGAUAUUGGACAUACACGUGUGCAACGAACGUGAAGUGCUCUCCAGUUCCUGCAGGAUCACAAACAAUAAUUGUCAUUGAUUCGAUUCCUUCUUAUCUGCUCAUAUAUAUCAAGACACAUAAACUGUCCUGUCCAUUGCAUGAAUUUAUAAGUUAGAAAAAUACUCGUUGUUGACGGAAAAAAAAAAGACUUGUUUUUUUUUUAAAUCACCUCAAUUUUAUAGGGUUUUUUACAAAUAUGACUCAAAACUUGAAGUCAAACACAAAAAUAACCCAUGUUUUUUUUUGGAACUUUGACUUGCCUCUUUCACCUCCAAAGUUCAGAUUAUUCACGAAAAUGCCAUCACUUUUUUUUUUUGAAAAUGCAUAUUUUAUUUUAUCACUCUCAUCUUCCUCAAGUAUUCACAAUAUUGUCAUUGCCAUCAAUACACCAACAACCAUGAACAACCAAUUUGAAACUCUUAAUGCACCUAAAAAUCGAUUUACACUCUUUAUUUUUUAAUUCUUAUGAACCAAAAACAACAUCUCUUUACUUUCUCCCCAUAUUCAUCCAAAAAAACCCAAGAUUUUUAUUCUAAAAAUUUUAUGGUUCAUAGAGCCAUUGAAGCUUACUAUUCUUGGUGAGUAACUUUUGUUUGAGAUUCUGGGUGCUUGGAGAAGACUUUUGUGUGCUAAACAAGUUAUCUCAAUGGUUGAAACUAUGAAAUUAGUUUUUUUUUCAGAUAUGUUCGUCCAAACGACUUCCGAGUAAGUCGUCUGGCUGUAGACGACUUACAUGGAAGUCUUCUGGCCAAUGCAGAUGUUAAUUUUCCAAUUGACUUUUAAAUGUGUUUUUCUAGACGGCUUACAAGGAAGUCGUCCAUCUUUGUUUGUUAAAAAAAAAUCGAGACGACUUCCAUGAGUCUAAGGUAAACGAGUUAGUUUUGCAUUUGACCAGAUUGUGUCAGAAAUUUGACUUUUCUUGGACGACUUACAUUUAAGUCGUCCAGUAGAAAAUUUAAAAAUCAAUAUUUUGUUAUACCUAAACGACUUCCAUGUAAGUCGUCUCAGGUUAGUUUUGCAAUUGAAAAAUAAAACAAAAAAAUACUUUUGUCUAGACGACUUACACGGAAGUCGUUCAUCAGAAGGCUUCCACGAAAGUCGUCCAUAAUUUUAUUCUGAGAUUCUGGUCAAACCUUGCUUAUCUUGGACGACUUCCGUGUAAGUCGUCAGACGGACGACUUCCGUGUAAGUCGUAUAGAAAAAAAUAAUUCUUUUUGUUUUACUUUUCAAUCGCAAAACUAAUCUGAGACGACUUACUUGGAAGUCGUCUAGGUAUAAUAAAAUAUUGAUUUUUUAAUUUGCUACUGGACGACUUCCAUGUAAGUCGUCCAGGAAAAGUCAAAUUUCUGACACAAUCCGGUCAAAUGCAAAACUAACUCAUUUUCCCUAGACGACUUACAUGGAAGUCGUCUCAAUUUUUUUUUAACAAACAAAGAUAGACGACUUUCAUGAAGUACAUGUAAGUCGUCUAGGUUAAAAAUCAAUUGCAAAACUAACCUAAACGGACGACUUCCUAGAAGUCUACCAGACGACCUCCGUGGAAAUCGUCUGCGUCAAUGUUUAAUAAACUUUCAUUUUCUCUAAAACUAUAAAGACUUUUUAAUUUAUUUUGUUAAUUCAUGUAUAUUAGUCAAUAUUGGAGCUACUGAAUGAAAUUUAUAACUUAAUUGGUGAUAUUUAUAAGGUUACCAACAUUCAUGCUUAGUAAAAUUUCGAGCUAAUUGAGAAGACUUCUGUGUAUAAUUGGAAGUCUUCUACGUUAGUUUUUGUAAAUUUGUUAAGUAACUUUAAGAUAUAUUUAUUUAAUUUUCAAAAGUGUUAAGUAAAUUCAAGAAUAUCAAGUAACAUGGUUUAGUGUGUCUUCUCAGAUCAUAAGAUAUAUUUUUUACUUAUGUAUCUAAUGAAAGUGUUUUAACUUUGAACUUAUGUAAUGUUUUAUCUUUUGUGGAUUUGACUAAGUUUUCUUGAGAAUUCUUCUCCCUUAGUAGUAAUAAAUUUGAUUAAUUUUUUGUGUUAUUGUGUUUUGCUAUUGAAGUUGUAUCAAUAACUACAAUUAUGUCAAGUAAUUCUGGCAAGAUAAUGUCGUGGAAAAUGAACAUAUUUACCAAUAUUUUUCAUUAAUAUCUCUUCAAAUUUACAAGUCACAACUAAAGGAGUACACAUGCAAAUCACAGAUCAGACCACAAACAAAACUAUUAUAGAUCAUUCUUCUACAAAAACAAGCUUAGACUCCACUUGAUAUAGAAGAAGUCCCCGUCAGAAGACUUCCUGUAAGUCGUCUGGAAGACUUCUUUGAAGUCAUUUGGAAGACUUCUAGGAAGUCUUCUAGCGCAUUAUAUUUUAGAAGACUUCCGAGAAGACUUUCCAUAAGUUUUCCAAAGUCUGAUCCAGAUCUGAAAAACAUGUAUAUCAAACCCAGAUCUGAAAAACCUGCAUAUCAUAUCAAAAACGUUUAAAUGGCUUAAAACAGAGAAAAUGAGUGGAAAAUAGAUAGGCAUACUUUUAUAGAACACACAAAGUACAUAUCCAAGUAGAAGAUGAGAAUCAUCUGAUUAAAACCUGCAACAAAAAGAUAGAUUAGUGAGAAAGACAUGAGAAAAAAAUGAAAAAUUCAUAUAAAUUUUAGUGUUUUCAAGUCAAAGAGAUUAGAGUGGGUUUGAAGAGUUUUAGUUAGGGAAAAAAUAUGAAUUUUAUGCAACAGAAUGUUACCAAAUGAAGAAAAAUCAACAUAAGAACUUAUCAAAACGCUCAGAUAUAUUAUGAAAGGGAGACAUGGGGGAAGACUCCGUCAGAAGACUUCCUGGAAGUCGUCUGGAAGACUUCCUGGAAGUCGUCUGGAAGUCUUCUAGCCCAGAAGUCUUCCAGAUCUGAAAAACCUGCAUAUCCAAAUCCAUAUCUGAAAAACAUGCAUCUCCAAAAACGUUCAAAUGGCUUUAAAACAUAGAAAAUGAGUGGAAUAUUAAAUAGAUCUACCUUUAUAGAACACACAAAAAUACAUAUCUAAAAUUAUUAAAUCUACCUUUAAAUGAGUGGAAGAUGAGAACCAUGUGAUGAAAAACCUGCAAAACAAGAUAAACUAGUGAGAAAGACAUGAGACAAAAACAAUAAAUUGAUAUAAAGUUUGGUGUUUAUAAGUUCAAAGAGAUUAGAAAUAGGUUGGAGAGUUUUAGAAUGAGGAACAUACCAUUUUUGUUGCAGCCAUUUGAGAAGAAGAGAGAGAAUGUGUAAAUGUUUUGUUAUAUAUGGAGACAAAAAUUCCAGUAAGAUUAAAUAUUUUCGAUCAGAAGACUUACUAGACGACUUACUUGUAAGUCGCCCAGAAGACUUACAUGUAAAUCGUCUAGACCCUAAACAUAACCCCUAAACUAAAUUAACUAAUUAAACACUUCAUAAAAUCGAAUUAAACUUUAAAAGUGUUUACUAUACACAGAAAUAAUCAUAUGUAGAUAAUUAAUUUUCAAAAAACAUUUAAGCUUUCCAAAAUCUAACCCUAAGAAUACAUACAAUACUACAACAUAUGUUGUCAAACCCUAGACCAAAGAAUAUCAUGAUUCACUACUUUCACUCAUCUAUGUUGAAAACAAUUUAAUUUUAUUAUAUAUUAAUUUAUAUCACUUAAACUGUUUAUAAUUACAUGAUUUUAAUUUUUCGCUUAUCAAAAUAUUUCUUACAAAAUUUAUAAACUAUUUUUAAGAUCAACUAUACCAGACGACUUCCAUGGACAUCGUCCAGAAGACUUAACAGAAUCUCAGAAGACUCAGAAGACUUAGCGGGAAUAUAUUCAUAAAAAUGAGUUCUGUUUUUUUGUUUGGUCACAAUGAGAUGGCUGUAAUUUCACAAAAUUUUUGGGUUACUUUUGAAUUUGAUUCAAGUUUGGAUAUACUUUUGCGAUCAAAAUCAAGUUUUGAGUCAUAUUUGGUAAAUCUCUUUUUUUUUAUAUAUGGAAUUUGUAAGAUAAUUAUACAAGAAGUCAAAAGUUCUGCAAAAGCAAUAAAAGUCAGCAGAAUAAGUAAUUAUCUUUGAAAACAAAACUGAUUAAAAAUAAGUGUUUUCCCUAGAAUCAAAACCUAUAAAAGAUAUGAAAACACUUAAAGAAUACUACAUAACACUAUAAACUAAAAAAAAAAACAAUCGCAACCGAUAUUACAACAAAACCAAACGAUUUAUGUUCGAAAUUUUUUUUUUAACUAAAUAAUGAGUUUAUGUUCGAAAUUUUGGUCGAUAUUCAUCGUAUUCUUUGCAAUGUACAAUUACAUUUGAUGUUGUAUUUAGUUGUUCUUAAAACCAAAAUUAAAUGCUAUCACUGACUAUAUGGAAUGAGAGAAGAUAAACAUGCUCUUUGGCAAGAAUUCUCCCCAAACGCACCACAUGUUAUGUAUUUGGACCAGCGUUUAAAAGUUUUAAUGGCAGUAUGGCACAAACAAAAUGACCUACCUUACAGUGGUAAUCGAAAUUAAUUUGCACAACCUCUUUCUCUUAAAUCCUCGCCUAACUACCACUAAAUACGCAAUAGAUAACGAGCUUAUAUAUAUAAGACAUCAUCUAACACCAUAAAUGCAUGGGUUAACUUGAAGAUCAAUUUCAACUAGGGGAGGACGUGAUUCGUCUUCUGUGUAUUUAAAAUAAAUCUGAUUAUUAAGUAUAUAAUAUGUAUGGUGGGAUAAACUAUUUGAUGAUUGUUCAACUCACAAUGUAGUUUCCUACUUUUGUAAGGUAAUUGUUCUUUUGUCGCUGCAUCUCCGAGUUUGCGUCAUUGCCAUAUUACAUAUGUGAUUACGUGUACAUAUGUGAUUACGUUAACAUCUAUAAUUUCGAUACUUAAUUGGUUAGAUAUUGACUUAUUUAGCCGCCAGUAAUGUUAUUAUUUGGUGGAGGUUUAAGAACAAACUUAGGUUCACCCCUAGGAUAAAUCUUUAAAUUCAUCUCUUCUUUUGUUACCAAUCAAAACGUCACCUAAAUUAAUAAGAAAACAGAUUAAUUUUAUUUAAAAAAUCUGAAAUAAUUGAAAAAAAAUAACGUCAAUUUUAAUGAUGCUAACGCCACUACCUAAACCUUAAAUUUUAAAUCUAAACCCUAAAUACUAAAUUCUAAACUAAAACUCUAAACCUUAAAUUCUAAACUCAAAUCCUAAACCCUAAACCCUAAACCCAAGCCCUAUAUCCUAAACCCAAAUCCAAAACCCUAAAUCCAAAACGUAAACCCUAAACCCAAACCCUAUAUCCUAAACCCAAAUCUUAGACUCUAAACUCAAACCAUAUACCCAAACCUAAUCCCUAGAUCCUAAACUAAAAUCGUAAACCCUGAACCUAAAUCCUAUAUCCUAAAGGUUUGGGUUAAUAUUGAUGUUGUUUCUUUAGGGUUUAAGGUUUGGGUUUAGGAUCUAGAGUUUGAGUUUAAGGUUUAGGAUUUGGGUUUAGGAUUUUGGUUUAGAGUUUAGGGUUUGGGUUUAGGGUUUAGAAUUUGGGUUUAAGAUAUAGGGUUUGGGUUUAGGGUUUAGAGUUUGGGUUUAGAAUUUAGGGUUUAGAAUUUUAGAUUUAGGGUUUAGUUACGGCGUUAGCAUUAUUAAAAUGAGCGUCAUUAAUUUUUUCAAUUAUUUUAGACGCUCAUUAAUUUUUUCAAUUAUUUUAGAUUAGUUUUAAAAAAUAUUGUAUUUUAUUAUUAAUCUAUAUGACAUUUUGAUUGGUAAUAAGAAUGGAGGUGAAUUUAAAGGUUACGGGUGAACCUAAGUUUAGUUUGAGGUUUAAGAACAUACGUUUUCGUAAAAUCUCACCAAAUUUUAUAAAUAUAUAUUUAUAAUAAUAUUUAAUUUUAAGUAAAACAUAAAAUUACAUAAAUAUUUUAUCAAUGAUUUUUCAAAAAAACUAUUCACACCAUUGAAAAAAACAUUUGCUGUGAGUCUCUUAAAUUCUUGAGAUACUCAUAAUUAAAAUAUUAAUACUAAUUUAUAAUAAUAUUUUAAAAAUAACCAUCAAUGUAAUUUUGUGUUGAGAAACUUUGGUGAAAUAGUAUUGAUAUAAAUGUGUUGGAGUAAGAUGUUUCAUAUGUAUAUUUUACAACUAAAAAUUAUAAAAAUAGAGUGAACAAAUUCUGAUAUUUUUUGCUUUAAAAAUUAUUUUGCCCUUGUCAGUGAUGUAAAUUUUAUUUCCAAUUAAACAAUGGAAAUGAUUAAUACUAUUAUAUUGAUAAUUUUGUUCUUGUAUGAGAAUCUAUUAAAUGUCAUCUAAAUUUUGUUUCUGCAAACAAACAGAUACUUUACUUUAUCCACCUUUGUGUCAUGCAGUUUUAGUCCAAAUAAUACUAACACGAACUAUUAUACUAUAGGUUCUGGUUAACGUAAACUUGUUAAAAAAUUCAGAUAGCUAUUGUGUACUUUUCCAGGGGUUGAUACUUGAUAAGUAACGUUUAAGUGUUUUAAUAGUUUAAAUUACCAUUCUAUUUGUGUUUCCAGCCAAAUGCUGAAUCCCGUGCUCAUGUUAAUUGGCAACAUGAACCAUUUUCUGUUGAAUGGUAAGGUGAUCUCAAGAAGCCAAGCUCGCCGUACACCAACCAUCAGAAAUCAUCCAAUUUUUCUAUAUAUGUUUUUUUUGUCUAAUGGUUCAUAUGUUUUCUAAAAUUUUCUUGAUUUUCAACCAAAUUGCUGUCUAAAUACUGAUAUGAGCAUCUCAGUGUAUUUGAAAAAUUCCAACACCAAUAUUCUAAAAUUUUCAAGUGUUUGAACUUUACUUGCAAAAGAUUUUUUUUUUCAGCUAACAGACCUACGCGGUGAUUUUUCUCUCAGUAAAUAUAUCUAAGAUAUUUGCUCUUUUCAGUAAAUGACCAAAAUCUUUUUAUAAUGACUGCAACUUUGGAAUAGAGAAAAAUAACAACCAAGUAUAAAUUGUAAGAAAGUCUAUAUGCCAGCAAACAUUUUAACAAAACAUGUUCUUUCAUUCAAAUUGUUGGCCAGUAUCGUUUAGUCAUAUACAUUAUCUUCCUUUCUAGAAGACGUGGGAAGCAUUUAGAGCCACAAUAUGAUCACAGACACAGAUACAAUAAUAAGCUAAUUAAAAUUAAAAUUAUAUGGCAAUCCUCUAAGCCGGAAAAUCUUAUGAUGUAAUCGUAUCGGACAAAAAUAUUUUGCGGAUCAAUUGUCAUUACCCAUCAUCAAUAGGUUUUCGUUUUCAUUCAUCUUCAUUCCUUUGUUUGUAGAAAAUUAUAGAACAAAUAAAUUCUUCGUUAAUUUUGAUAAGGAACCAUGAUUUCUCAUCAUUCAUAAAAUUUUAUUCCUAUUCAUUUAUUUUAUAUUCGUUCCUAUUGUUCCUACAAUGGUUAAUUACCGGUCAUACCCAUAGAGUUAAUAUAUAUGCAUCUAGUGUGUCGAUGUUUUGACAAGGAAAUGAUGGUCUUCUUUGGCUCUCGAUGAAGAUUGAAGACCCAAGUUUCUUUUUGAAGUGAUUUGCUCUGUUUCGAAAAUUUCUAAAAGCUUUCUCUACCACAAACCGUAAAUCAUAUGAUGCACAUGUUGUAAAAACGACGAUGAAUAAUUUAACAUUCUUUAAAAAAAUAAUAUAUAUGUCACAUAAGAAAAAAAUAUAGGAAUAAUUAGUUCUACGAAAAACAAACAAACCCUGCUUAUAUUUUUUUUUUGAUCAAACAAACCCUGCUUAUAUAUGGUUAAUAACUUAAUAUGUACUAAUUAACCAUAAUGCCCUGCUAUAUCCUGUUAGAAAACUUAAAUUUUAACUUAAAUUUUAGUAUAUCCUCCCCUGGAAUUUCAAUCAAAGUUAUAUCUAAACCUCUGUUCAAAAACGCGGCGCACAGGACCGCAUAGUCGCCGGAAAUUCGCUCGUCGGCCUCUGUCCGCCGCGAUUUGCUCUUUAUCGGACAAAAAAACGGGAUUUAAAAAAAACUCCAAAUUUUGUUCAGUUAGACUUAGAAAUCGAAGUAGAUCUGUCUAUUCUACCUAUAAAUACAAAGGAAAACGGAAGAAAACAAUGAAAAUAACAGAAAAAAAUAAAACGGCCGCCAUUAUUAGGGUUAGGGUCGCAGGCACAUGAGGAAGAAGAUGAAUAUGAAAUGACUAUUCUACCCUCAUUAAUGCUUUAAAGAUAAAAAACCAAUUACAAACAAACUCUCCGGUUUGAACCCGGGUGCAUUACAUAUAAAUAAAGCCCACUAACCACUGGGCUAUCAAAGAUCUAAUGAUUAUACUUAAAAUAUCUAAUAUAUAUAUAUCUAAGCUCUAAAACUAGGCCCCGAUUAAUUCCCGCAUACUCCCCGAUUUUCUCGUUACGCGCUAGGCCCGGAGUUACCGCCCGACUAGCGCCUAGCGUAGUUCGGAACAGGGAUCUAAACUAUCAAAGUAUGGUUAAAAUAUUUCCAAAAAAUAAAACGGCGUACAAUAUGUUAACCAAAGUGAUGAUUCAUCAUGCUCGAUCCACGAUCGGUUAUCACGAUGGGUUUAAGUAAAUCCACGACAGAAAAUCAAACUUAAUUGAUUAUUCAAAGUUAAAACUAUCUGUUGAUGUGAUAUUGUGAAUUUGUGAUGUAACGAUUGAUGUGAACACAGACACGCGUGUAUAAAAGAAGGUCAACAUCUUGUUACAAUUAUAACACCGGAAGUGGACAAUAUGAGCAGACACGUGUUAGGUGUUAUUGGAUAGCGAUGAUGUAAGCCCAAAUAAAGUUUUGUUUUUGACUUUUAAGGCCCAUAAACGGUUGCCUCUUUCUUCUGUUUUGUCCAGACUCCUUAUUAAAAAUAUAAAAGCCCAUAAUGGGCCAUACUUUUAUUUGCAAAUCUUGACCCUUAAAAUUCUCUUUGCAUCACCAUCCACUCCGCUUGGUUUCAUUUGAUGACGUCUUUGGUAUUUAGAGAAAACAUGUCAAAAACAAAUGAAAUAAUUUCAAACUAUUUUGGAAUACAUGUAGCAAUUUCGACAAUUAUUAAUACCACCUGUUGAAUAUUAUGUCAAAGAUGUAAUGUCACCUAAGUACCAGGCAAACUUUUAACAAUAAUUUGUAAAGAAUUUGCUAUACAGGUUUAACUUUGUGAGAGGAAGGUGGCUGGUUGAAAUAAUAAUGUAUAUUUUGUAAUCAGUAGAUAAUUCUCUUCUCCCCCGCUGAGGAAAGAUUUUCUCUGAUGCAAGUUUUAUUGAUAGUUGAGAAGCUAAUCUUGUAUGUGUAAGGCCACAAAAGGAUUACGAUGAUUUUUAUGUGAAGCCAGAUGUUUCAGCUUGUGUACCAUCAUUCACUGAUGAUGAGGUCGACACGGGGAUCUUUGACGUCUUGGAAGUAAUUACUGAAUCAACGUUCUAGCAUAAACCUUGACAUUUCCGAUGCCACAAGAUGUUAAGGAUUUAAUUAUCUGCCUUUUGCACCAAAUCUGCUUUAGAACACAAUCACCACCGACUAUCACAUGCACUAUUCAAAUGCACUGCACGAUGUAGGCGAUUGGUCACAAAAGUGUUUCGAAUUUGAAACCGAUAAUUCUAAUAUUUUGACAUAACAUGUUCUUGCUUAUAAAAUACUACAUUUGAACAACAUUUUAAGUUCGAAACAUUUUUGUCUAUUAGAAAUAUGUUGAUAGUGUUAGCAACCUAACAAUUAUUAAUCCAUGGAUGGAUGUUAUGAUACAAUAUAUGUAGUUCGUGUAGUUUUUAAUUCAUUGAGAUUGUCCAGAUGUUUCGUAAUGUGGUAGCUAUAAUUCAUCUAGCGGACGAUCUUUUUUUUUUUUUUUUGAAAUUGUGGAUGUUAGGUGUUCUUGUAUCACUGUUGAGGAUCUUGACUAAAGCUGUGUAUCCUCAAGAUCCUGAUGGGUUGAGAAAAUGUGUGAACCUUUACUUUGCUGUGGGGAUUGUUGUUAUGGUGAUAUGUGAUGUGUCCUAUAACGUAGCGCAAGGCUCAAGCACUACUCAAAGAGAGUCAAGAGAACGGUUCUUUGACUAGACUGGAGGAAAACGCUCUGGCAGAUCGUGAUGAGGAUCAAGUCUCAUGGCUUCGGAUCGUUCUCAAAUCUCAUAUGCAUUGUGACGUUAGCCCUGUUCUUUUGCUGGACGCAGUGCGUCACCAAAAUAUAAAAAAAUUUAAAAGGACAGGUCAGCAAUAAAUUAAAAUACAGAGUCAUGGAUUGACGCAAGCCAUACGUCAAGAUUGUCCGGGAGACGCUGCAUUUUACAGCGGCGAAGAAAUCACCGAAAAGAUCACUUGCGACAGCCGCCGGCAGGAAGUAUAUAAGGACGGUGCAUUUGCAAUUCUCUGUUUUGUUCGUUAAAUUUUGGUUUUCGCUGCUAACGCUGCGUCCCGCAAAAUAACAGGGCUGUUGUCGAUAUUCCCUGGUUAUAUCACUGAGGAUGUUCAUUCUGAGCUUCUUGGAGAUUGGUACCCUGUUCUAGUCAUUGCAGGCUUCAACGUGUUUGACUUGGUUGGCAAGUCUUUGACCGCUGUUUUCACGGUCCGAUGUUUCUCAGGACAGAGAUUUCUGUAGCUAUACUGACAUCCUUAUUGGGACUCACUAACGAGAACUUGAAAAGCGUUUUGAUGAUUCUGGCUUGGUUCUGGGUCAUUUGAUUCUAACAAAGCUUGUUUGUUAUCUGUAUUUGUAUAUUCUUUGAGCUUCAUUGAUUUGUAAAAUCUUUUGUUUGUACUUCACUAGAACUCUUUUUAUACCAUAGCAUUUGUUACACUAUGAUCACAAUAGACUUAAAAGCUGUGGAAGCGGAAACGGUACAACGUAGAUUCAGUGCUCUUCAUAUAGCUAAUAAGUUCGGAUCGGGUUAGAUCUCGGUUUGUUUAGAUCCAUCACAAGCCUAAUUCGGCCCAUUCUGUAAAUCAACGCGUAACUGGGUCGUAAAUAUUCAUAAACAAACCGGUUAGCUUCUGGUUCAACCGGGAAUUGGUAACCGGUUAGCCAUCUGGCCUUCUCGUAUUUGAGUCUUUUUAUACAAGGCUACUUUAGAAAGAUUCUGGCAUAUGUACUUUAGAAAGAUAUUUUUGGAGAAGGCUGAGUGAAUUGAUGAGCCGAUGAAACUGAGUGAAAUUCACAUGCGAAUUGGCAUUUAAUCUUUUGAUUAUUUCAACCAACCAGAAACAGGAUUUUUAACACAUCUAGUAGAUAAAUCCAAACUGAAUUAAGUGAAAACUGCAUAUGACAAUGCACAGAAACUCUAUUGACCUUGGAUUUGAUCUCACAACACUUAUUGCAUAUGUAGCCCACAGGCCACAGAGAUAUUUUUACAAACCUUUAUUUUCAUAAUAACAGCAAUAAUGGAUUUGGAGUAAGUUAGUUGAAACAGGUAGACUUCAAUGGAGAGAGAGAGAGAGACAUGGACUCACUGCUCUCACUGAUCACAAGCAGAGGUCAAACUCCUUUACUCUCUCUGAAACGUUGUCAUAACAUAUUUGACAAAGCCGUGAACUUGUCAAUACGUAUUCAUAUUAACCAACACAAGAAGAUGUUACUUGUGUGUUCCUUGUGAUUCCAAAACAAUAAACCUCGUUUCUGGUUUUGAGUCCCACUUCACUACUGGCUCCUCCUUUGGCUACGCACAAUAAUACAUGAUACUCACAUCUAGUAAAUAAAAACACGUGAUACAUGUAAAGACAUUCAAACCAGCAAUCCUUCUAUAGUCCGGAAUUUAAGGGAAACAAACAAAUACAAACAUAUCAAAUAGUUCAGUUGGUAACUGAAAGUGAUGGAUUGUUCCAUUAUAAUGCUACUAGAUGAACCAAUUAAUUUUUAAAUAUAAUUAUUAUUAGACAAAUAUACGCUUGGGGAUCCGAAAAUUAAAUUAAAAAAAAUUCUCUGAUAUGUUUAAAUAUUAGUUAGGUGACAUUUGUUUGCUUUUUAACACUGCAAGAAAACGUGAGAAUAACGACUACCAUUUACGACUACAAAUGUGUAAUUUAUACGUAAUUUUGCUACUAAAAUGUUUAGUCGUAAAUUGGUCGUAAACUAACUUCGCAUUUACGACCACACUUUCAGGUAGUCGUAAUGUGGUCGUAAAUGUACGACUAAAUUACAUCGACAAGCUACCAUCUGAUUAACGACCACUUUACGAGAAACGUAGUUGCACAUUUGUGGUUAAGUUAUUAUCAAACGUAAAUAUGUUAUUUAUUAUAUAAUUAAUGAAGUUAUAUAUUUAUAUAUAUAUAUAUAUAUAUAUAUAUAUAUAUAUAUGUUGAUGAUCCAUGUUGAUUAUGAUGAUCUAUUUUAUCCUCAGUGGUUUCACGAAUUGAUACAAGGUCCGGUCGCUAAGGUCACCACAACAACUAUGUAUUUCACACGAGACUACACUUUUCACACUUACGAAUAUGGAAGUCGGCGAGCAACAAUGAACUAUGGAGUAUGUGUGAAAGGUGAAACUGAUUUCUAUGGAAUCUUACAAGAGAUCAUCGAAGUGGAGUUCCCCGGCCUAGUGAAGCUGAAAUGCGUUCUAUUCAAAUGUGACUGGUUUGACCCACAGUCAAUAGAGGUGUUCGGUAUAGCAAGUUUGGAGUUGUUGAUAUAAAUGCUACACGGAGGUACAACAAAUUUAAACCCUACAUAUUGGCAUAUCAAGCAGACAAAGUUUGUUUUAUUCCAUACCCGAGGAUCAUACAAUCUGGAAUAUCUUGGUUUGCCGCUAUAAAAGUUACACUUCGGGGCCAAGUCUUGACUGAUGAACAACUGCCUUUACAAGAAGAUGUCGUAAAUGAAGUAGAAAUACCUGAGCAUGCUACAAAUGUUAUCUUACUUGUUGAUCCACACAACCAGAGAUAUGAAGAACUUCCAGACGAUGCAACAGACGAAGCCAACGAAGAUGAAUUUGAAGAAAAUGAUGAAGUGGAUGAUGUUUCUGAUGACGAGUGAUCGAGUUUGAUUAUGUUACAGUGUUUGUGUUUUAUUAUAUUAUUAAACUAUUUGUAUUGCAUUACAAAUAAUAUAUAACUUAUUAUCAUGUUUGCUCAAUUAUAUAUGAACAUAGUUUUAAAAAAAAUCUUUCUACUUUGGGGUUUAGAAGUGUAUAAAACUUAUGAUGUUUGGGGUUUGGGGUUUCGGUUUUAGGGUAUAAACACAAAACGAAGCCAAUUAGUCGUAAAGUACGACUCAGUUACGACUAAUCUUAAUUCUUCUCACAUUGUUCUCUAAUUGGUCGUAAAGGACUUCGUCCCACAUUGGUCGUAAUUUUAAUUCUUCUUUACGACUAUUAGUCCUUAAUUGGUCGUAAAUAAAAAAAAAUAUUUAGUCCCUAAUUGGUCGUAAUAUUAUUUGGUCCCUCAUUGGUCGUAAAUUUACGUCUCCUUUACGACCGCUAGUCUCUCAUUGGUCGUAAUAUUACAACUCAUUUACGUCUAACACCAAAACUCUAUAUAUACUCGGACCUCGCGAAGCCAUUUGGUUGCUCAUUCUCUUCUCUCUAACAACGACUUCCCUUCUCUCUCUAGGUAAGUUUUUUUUUUAGUUUUAGGUGGUUAGUUAGGUGAUUAUAUUAGGUUUGGAACUAGUUUAGGAUGGAAGUAGAUUAGGAUAGAGUUAGAUUAUGAUGGAAUUAGAAUAGGUUUAGAUUAUUUUUAUAUAAAAAAUUUGAUUUGUUUAUAACCAUCUAUUUUUUUGGUUUUUUUUUCUUCAGAUUGACGAUAUUUCUAUGGCUGGCGGUAGAAAGAGACUUAGGAACCUUGCGCCUAGAAACUCUUACGGGAGUACCUUUCUCGGAUAGCCGGAUCCAUCAGCUUCUACCUCCGGUACAUCAUCCGACUUCUUCGACGAAAUAAACCUUAAUGCUUAGUUUUUUUCGGUUUUAAUUAAUUUAUGUUUUGAAUGUUGUAUAUUAUGGAUAUUAUUAUGUUUACGGAUGAUAGAUAUUUUCUUUUAAUUUUAUCAAAAUUUAAAAAAUUAAAUCAAACUAAAUUUAAAUAUUUGAUUUUAAUUAAUAUAUAAAAUUCGUAAAUAAAUAAAUAAAGUUGGUCAAAUUUACGACCAAUGAACAUCUAAAGUCGAUGUAAAGUGGUCGUUACCUUAAGACUAAUAAACAUCAACAUUAGAGGUAAAUUGGUCAUAACAUUAGAGGUAAAUUGUUCGUAAGGUUACGACCAAUGUACGACUAAUAUGUCUAGUCGUAAUAUUACGAUCAAUGUGCCUCUAAUAAUUAAUUACGACCAGCGUCUAAUGACCAAUCAAUUUUCGAAGUUAAUUGGUCGUAAUGCCCAUAUUACGACCAACUAGCUACUAAUAUUGUAGUCGUUAAGGUCAUGUUUUCUUGUAGUGUAAGUACUUUAAAGAAACCUGAAAUAAUAGUAAUAAGUGUACUAGAGUGGAAGUUCGCCAUAGCCGCUCCUCUCAGACACAAUUAUCGAGGCAAACCUUCCUCCACCAUUCUCUGGCGCCGGUGAAGCCCAAUCUCACAUGCGUCGAGACUUUUCAACCCAGCUUUGUUACAUCUUUGUCUCUUUGUUCUUCUUCAAUCUCGUCCUCGUUUUCAGUCCGUUUCUUUCUUUGUUGUCGAGUAAGUUUUGACUCUUUGGCCCAAUGGGUUCACGACGGAGAAGCUGUUGCUUGAAACCAUCGCUCUCGGCGUCGCUAUCCCUAUGGAUUAUCUUUCUCUCGACGUUGAGCUCACAUGCUUUUACAGUCACCGCUCCUCAGUGCGUCUCGGGUUCAAGCCCCGACGAACCUUUCUCAAGAGAUUCGUAUUUGUCAAAACCGAUGUCGAUUGAGAGCGUUUCUUCUCUGUGGAGAUCUGUUCCUCAGUCAGGGGCUCUCAGUGCUCAAGAAGAUCUACCAGUCGCCACUACUCUGCUCUCAACCUGCUCCAAUUCUUGGAUCUCACUGCGACCAGAUCUGAAGAUACUUUGGCAUCUACCUUGUUCGUUGUCCUUUGGGAUGAUUGUUACUCUGUCUACGGAGAAGAUCUGUUCACUCUCUUUGCUGGAUGAGCCUGUCAUUGGGUUUGUAAAGUUUUGGAAUGAUACUCCAGUAAUGAAGUCUCCAAUGUUUUCCUUUCAAAGUCAGCACUUGUUACUGCUGUUAUUCUCGGAGUCCAAUGAAAAUAGCUAGUGUGUCUGGUCCUUCAAACCUCAUUUGGUGAUAAAAGACUACAGGUUAUGGUGUUAUCCCCCCCCAUGUUCUCUCCACAACCUCCAGUACGGUAAUGCCGAGGAUCAGAGCUGCUUAGGGAUAGUAGCCUCAGAUGACGUGUCUGAACUCAUGGAAGUUGAUAAGCUGCUAAGCAAUUAUGAUCACAUUAUUUUGCUUGGUGUUGCUACGAGGUUAUGGCCAAAAGUUAAAGUGCUCAUCAACCAACCACUGAUUGCUUUUAUAACCACAAGCUUCAGCACCACAACGAUCCAUAGCCUGCAAAUACAAAAGCUUGGCUCAGUUUACCCUUUCAACUUAACCACUCUGGAAAAGUUUAUACAACCUUCCUCUCGUCAGGGUCGAGAGAGAUCUUUAUCCACAUCCUCUAAGGAGAGAACACUUCCACCAAAAUUCAUUUCUUCGAGAGAGAUCCUUUUUUGGGACCCAGUUUCAGAGAAGAAAAUCUUUAUCCUAACCGUCUUGCAUUCUUGUGUGAAGGUUUGUUUGAAACCGGUAGAUGCAUCGAUGUUCAUUUCGAUGAAGUUCGAGGUUAUGGACUUGUAUUCAAAGCCACAUGAUAAGUUGGCUCAUCAAAAGUCGCCUGAAGAGAUUAAAGUGAGAUUGCUCUCCUUUUCUAGUGUAAUGCUUGGCCUUUUAGGCAUGUCUUUAGAUGCAGUAUCAAACUCUUUUGAGUUUGUGUCUCUAUCCUUUUAUCGUUUUAUUGGUGUUGUUGAAGUUUUAAAUUUGGCUAUUCGGAUUUGUCUAAAAGUGCUUAUUUACUUUGUAGUGUUUUAAAGUAUGAAUGAAAGUAACUGGUUGCACAAAAAAAAAGAAACCCGAAAUAAAGAGAAAGUAACAAAAUAAAAAAAGCAAAUGGUGGAAGUCAAAAGAAAAAAAAACAAAAGCAAAGCAUUGAGUGUCCUUUAUAAUUUGUUAAAAAUAUGAAAAAUAUGUCAAAGUUAAUAAAGAGUAGGGGUUUCAACAAAUGAUGAUGCAAAUCCAUUAUUUGCUUCGAUGAUUGGGGAGAAAAUUAAGUAGAUCCACAUGCUGAUUUGUCUUCGACAGUUUUGUUUACGUUGGAAGUUAAGUUACGUAUGAUAGAGACAAAUAGUAUUUACAUGUUCUUAUUAAGAAGUUUGGUGUGUUUUGUUUCUCCGGGAUUUCAUGUAUUAAAGACAAGCUGUUGUAUAUUUGGAAAAUUUUGAACUUUUGGCAUAUAGUUUACACAAAUUUGGAGCCAGCUAUUGAUAAUACGUUAGAUGGACUUGCACAAAUUUGAAACCAGCUAUCGGAAAAACUGUUUGUUAACGCGUUAAUUCCUAAUUAGAGUAAGACAACAGAGUAUUAUCUAUCCAGUAAAAAAUAACCAAAUCUGUACGUAAUUAAUUGAUGUUAAAAAGGUCGAAUAGACGGAUAACGAUGUUAUUGAAAUGCGAAGGUGAUCUAAACACAACAAAAAAUCUGAAAGAUUAUUAGUUACCUUUAUGUGAUGACAAUGCUUUUUAGCACCGACGAGAGACUAUGAAAAAAGUUUUAGAACUGAACAUAACUUUGUAUUCUUUGUACUCUCGCUAGUUUGCUACCAUUUAAAAACAGAUAUUGUCAAAAUCAACUAAAUUAUAAUUUAGAAUUUGUUAAAUUUAAAAUUAUAUCAUAAACUUUAAACUUUAAACUAAUUUACAAUUGUAAAUGUAACGUCUAGGCCUAGUAACGUCGGCUCCCCUAUCACGGAUUCAGUAAUGCACAAGUACUCAAACAAAUUAAUCUCACGAGCCAAGUUAUAAAUGUAAUGUCGGCUCCCGAAAACUCCCAACAAAAUAAAAACAAACACGUAAAAAGUUCAUAUAAACAAUGUUCUCAGCAGCCAAAGCGCCAAGUGUGUUACCCUCAUUACGCAUCUGUCCCAUUGUAAUAUAGGCAGCUCGUGACUCUCUCCUUUUCUCCAUCUCCUUUAAUUUUCAUAGUAUUUUAAACCAAAAUGUUGUAAACAAAAAAUUGGGUGGCACAUAGAGUCCACCUCAUCUUUCUACACGCCUACAUCCAAAGGACAUACAACUCAGCACAUGUAUUGAAACACCAUCGCUGUCUCCAUCUUCUUUAUUAUAUUUUCUUUCAAUAUAUAUAACUAUAUAACGACUUCUUAUAAUAUACACAUGUUAAAUCCAUAUCAUAACCCCUUCAUUUAUAGAUAAAAUAAAUAUUCAAUCAGCCAAUCCAACCAACCAGCUAUAAUCAUCAUAAAUAGCGUCAACAAACAUUCACUAAAUAUCUUAAAUAUUAUUCGUGCCGCCACAAACAAAUCAGUAACAAGUCUUUACUGUUACUGAAAAAGCUUAGGAAAACAUAUAACAAUAGUAGAAAAUUAACAUUCCUCUAUUCAAAUCUCGGCGAUAAGAUAAUAUUCAUAUUUAAUACAUAAAAAAAAAAAGCAUGAUAGAUCCAGACCCGACCCGGUUUUAAUCCGCGAUGGCCCAGUUCAUGUCGUUCUCAAAUAUCCAGUGACAAACCUCAAUCAGACCCGGUUUCGACCCGAGAGCUAAGAAAGCUCCGUGCUUCGGACCCCACGAUGACGUGUCCAUGUGACAGAUGGCGAUCCCGUGGUUGAUCUUGGUCUUACUCUUCAAGUCAAGAAGAUCCGCUUCGUAGACCCGAACCUUAGGAACGGAGUGGCAGUAAUACAUUAGAUACGGGUACAAACUCUGGUGACAUGACACAGCUUUCGUCACUUUCCCGCCGUUGAUUCCGUUGACUUUCCCGAUCACCACCUUCUGCUUCGACCCCGCCACAUUCUCCGUCGUUCGCAGCACCACGCUCCGACCAAGCACCGACGUGGCGAAAUCGAUCAUAUCCUCGGCGGAACCAACGCACCGCUUCGUCUCUCCAACACUCGGCGACCUCUCGCAUUCCGUCACCGCGUCGGAGAUGAUCUUCUCCAUCGUGGAGUUCUCUCCGGCGUGGAAGAUCUUGUUGAUCUCGGCGAGCUUGGAGGUGGAGAAGGGGAGCUUCGAGAUGAUGCUCCGGGGCAAAAACGACCUUUCAGGCAUUUUAUCCUUAAUGUCAGGCAUAGGAAUCACUGUGCCUUCUUUAAGCGACGCCUCUCUGAAGAAUUUGCCCGGCUCGAUCCACUUAUUCACGGUUUUGCCAUCGCCGAGGGUUGCUGACGUGGAGGAGACGUUGUACUUCGCGAAACCGACGCCGUUUUUGGCGUAGUCCUUGAAAGUGGAGUUGGGCGUGUAGGUUUUGAAGCUGAUCUUGUGUCCUUCGGCUCCUUUGCCAUAACCGGUGAAUGUCUCCGAACCGGGAUUGAAUGACUGACCGUAAUUAGUGAAUUUAGCCGUACCGGAGUUUGAGUCUUUAGCGUAGGAGGAGAAGGAGUCGUCUCCGACGUUGGAUUUGUCUCUGUAGUUCGCGAACGUGUCGGAGGCGGCGUUGCCGGAGGCGCCGUAGUUUUUGAAGUUGUUCUGCGGGACAUUCCCGUCGCUGCCGUAGCUCGUGAAGGAGUCGUUGGCGGCGUUUCCUUUCUCGCCGUAGUUCGAGAAGCCGGAGCCGAUUACGUUGGCGGAGACGCCGUACGAGGCGAACUCGUUCGGCACUCCGUUCCCGUUCUUGCCGUAGCUCGUGAACGACUGGCCGUUCCCGGCGUUGGCCUCGUGAGUGUAGGUUUUGAACGACUGAGCCUUUCCGUUUCCGCCGUCGGAGUACGCCGUGAAUCGGCUCGUCGGGUUGUUAACGCCGUUUUGGUAGUUGGUGAAUUCUCCGGUGCCGCCGGUUCCGAAGGUCCCGUAGGAGUUGAAGUUUUCCUCCACGACGUUGCUGCUGUCGCCGUAGACGGUGAACUUAUCGUCGUGUCCGGCGGCGUUGCGGCUGUAUCUCCGGAACGAAUCGGUGACUACGUUGCCGUCUUUGGAGUAGGUUUUGAACGAGUCGGCGCCGCCGGCGGCGGCAUUGCCGUAGUUGGUGAAGUUCUUCUGGUCGUAGACGGAGAACUUGACGUCGGCGUUGUGCUGCUCGAGGCUCGGGGAUAAAUCCGGGAAGCAGAAGAGGUUCGCGGCGGAGCAGAAGUCCGGGAGACGUGUCGGGAGCGAGUUCUGGGCGGCGAGUUUGGCGAAAGUGGCGGACUCGACGGCGUUAAGCGGUGAAGCCUUGGAGAUGAGGAACUCCGAUCUGAGAGAUGAUUUGUCGCUGCGGAUCUC